RNAcentral lists this long non-coding RNA (52558 nucleotides) under Theobroma cacao (cacao). RNAcentral describes it as "long non-coding RNA (TCAC_LNC005776)". Lineage: Eukaryota; Viridiplantae; Streptophyta; Magnoliopsida; Malvales; Malvaceae. The record is from RNAcentral.
GUUGUUUGUCCAUUACUUGCUUGGAAGGACCUUGAAAAUGAAGUUACAAUAAUUAUAAGCCAUAUAUAUCAGCCAAAAUGCAUUUUUUAUUAAAGAAAUUAACAAAAAAAAGUUUUGGUUCAUUUUUUUGAGCUAAAAAGAGAGAGCGAGGUAUCUGUCUCCAAUUCCAUAAAUCCCUCCCCAGAUUCAAACUUGUCACCACGUUGUAGUCUUAAGUUCUAAGUUCUAAGUUCUAAGCUUUGAGGUAUCCCUUCGAGGACUUUAACUAAACAGGCUUUAGAUGGAAGUCAAAACUAGAAUUCUAUUGAAUUAGACUUAGAGUAUGCAUGCAGGCAUAGAACAUUUCUAUUUCAACUGCAUGAUUGUUGGAAAUUUGUGUGUUAAUAAUUUCUUUGGACAUGUUGGUAUUUGGGUGUAGGGGUAUGCAGAGCUACUCAAGUUGUUGAUCUCUUUUCAACUCUGUCUCCUGAGAUUGUUGUUCGGGAGGCACGGUUAGAGGACUGUUGGGAAGUGGCUGAAACUCACUGUAGCUCAUUCUUCCCUGAAUAUUCCUUCCCUUUGGAUUUUGUAUUGCGAGUUGACAGACUGGUGGCAAUGCUGUCAGGAUUCUCCAUUCCACCUGGUUGCAGGAGAACUUGUUUGGUUGCUGUCAUUGGUGGUUCAGCUGAUGAUACAUUUUUAUUUGGAAGUGAAGAUUUCAAAAUUGGAGGUUUUGAUGGGAAAUUUAGUCUUAAUAGAGGUUAUGUGACUGGUAUAUUAACUGUGGAUUCUGUUGCUGAUUUUCUUCCUAGAAAAGGACCGCUCCGACAAAGAAGGUGAGUUCAAAAUUUCCAGGCUUUUUCAGACUAGCUUUAUGUCAUUUAAAGAUGAAACAUGCUACUUAAAAAUCACUCUAGAAGAAUCUUGUUUUACUAACCAAUAACUACCUAUGCUGCAAGUUGAAUGUGUCAGAAAUUUUUGAGUUUUAUUGUUGCAAAAAUUGCUGCACGUCAAAUUUACUGAAGCUUUUCCCUUGAUUCUUUAAUCUAAAUUUGAUAUGUUACCCCUUCAUGUUGUCAGUAAUUAACUUACAUGCUCUACGUCUUAGGAAUCUGUUGAUAAUCCAAUAUGUAGUUAUGGUUGUCGGUAUAUGUUUGUUAAUAAGUUGACUUAAACUCAUAAUUUCUUAAUGGUUUUUGCAUGUGCAUGCUCUACGUCCAUCUUUUGCUGGUUCAUCUCCAAGUGAAAAUGGGUAAUGUCUUUUGUAUAUCAUGCGGAUAUUUUGUGGCAUUGCCCUUACAAAGCCAUUCUUUCUUCUUCUUUUUUUAUUCCUUUAAAAAUUCCAAUUAUGAUUAACUAACUUUCAUAUAUAUCACAUAUUACAUCCAUGGAAGAGAUUAAUAAACAAACCAACGUAAACUCGGACUAAGGUGGGACUUGAACCUGGGACCUAAAUGUUUCAGGGCCACCUCCUUGUCAUUGAGACAAGGCCCCAUUGGCACAAAGCCAUUCUUUUAUGAAAUUGAAGAGCAGUUUGUGUAGCAGGCUUAGAGUGGUUUAGACUUUUAGCUGAUUAGAGUUGAGUACUCGUGAUCCCUGUGUGCUAGUUGAUUUGGUAAUAACUAUUCUGAGACUGUAUAAUUGGCUUUCACGAUAAGUAACAGACUGUUUUCAUCCCCCUUUGUUUGAUAAACUAAACCCUGCGCCUGCCCCUCCAUAACAAAACAACAGGAAAGGAAAAAGAUGAAAAAGGUUUUCUCUUUUUCUAUCCCUUCUUGUUGUUCUGAUUUUUCUUUUUUCAAUUCAUAAGCACCUAUCUAUUAGCAAAAUACUUCAAGUCUUGCAUCUUACCUUGUAUAUCUCAACUCAUUCAAGAUUUCAUAAACAAUGAGAGUUUUAAGUGAACCAUGAUCCUACAGGAUGCUGAAUAUGUAGCAAAGUUUCUACAUAAGUUAUGCUGUCUUUCUAUUCUAGAUUAUCUCUCAUUUGGAAAAUAUACUGACUAUCUCUUGCAUAUCCUCGAAAAUUAACUGUCUUAAAAAUAUUAGAAAUUUUUCUGGAAUAAGGCCAUACGAUGCAAUAAUUGAAACAACCAUGCUGAAAUCAAUUAGUGGCAGGCAGAGCACAUAUAUGCUACUAUUACAUAUUGAUGCAUGUAAAUAGAGAAGCUCAGUUAAACCUCUUUCUCAUUUAAUUUUAUUUAGUAAAUGAUAAUUAGUGUUUCUCACUAGGACAGAAAUAUACCAGGCAAAUGAUUGUGGGAAGGCAGAAAGAGGGAGAGUAAGGUUGUGAGGGAAAGCUGGAAAGGGGUGAAACUUUAUGAUGAGAGAAAUAAUGAUUAUAAAUAGAGAAGAAUGCUGUAAGAUGAUAUUUGCUGUUGGAAUCACUUGUGGUAGAUUAGAUCUGCUGUAUGUCCUAAGCAUUAUGUAUCAGUGUUCAUAGAACUUUGUUCUUAAUGUGAAGUUAACCUUCCAGUCACGGGAAGUAUUUUGACUGCAGCAGUUCUCUUGAUGUGGCAAUUGGUUUAUCACUCCUUUCUUAUCCUUUUUUUUUUGGAUACUUUUAAGUUGCAUGGUAUUCAUCUUGUGAUUAAAUACUCCUAUUAUACAAAUGACACUUGGGCCUCUUUAUCACAGGACUGGAAUUGCAUACAUAUCUAAUGUUGCAGUUCGGGAGAGAUUUCGUAGGAAGGGAAUAGCUAAAAGGCUCAUAUCCAAGGCAGAAGCUCAAGCGAGGAGCUGGGGCUGCCGUGCCAUUGCUUUGCACUGUGAUUUGAACAACCCUGGGGCAAUAAAACUGUACAAAGGCCAGGGUUUCAGAUGCAUUAAGGUGCCAGAGGGAGCAAACUGGCCACAGCCCAAGACCUCACCAGAUGUGAAGUUCAACUUCAUGAUGAAGCUUCUAAACACCCCUACCAUGGCAUAAAUUCUUUAAUAAACAUCAAAAAGAUAAUUAGAAAACUCAUCAAAGAUGCAAAUAUGUAGGAUGUUUUAGUUGUAUAUAAUUUAAUCUGAUGGAAUUAACUUCAGAUAUUUGCACUUACUGUAUUUAUUGUAUCUGUAAUGUUAAUGUUACAAUAAGUUGUCUGUGUGGGCAAUACUCUUGCAAAGCUCUUGCUAGUUAUAAGAAAUUAUUUCCCUAGCUUGUUCCACACCUUUUUACUUCACUAAGUGUUUUUGAGUGUAAAGGCAAGAUACUAGAUGUUGCUGUUAAGAUUGGAUAUAUCUUCAGCCUCAUCUCUAUUGUUUGGAACCUGGAAAAUUGUGUAUACUUGCAGAAGUCCCUGGCUGGUUUUCUAGGCACUUUUUAAGAGAAGUGUACCAAAGACUCCCUCAACCUCAAAACUACCAUUAUUACGUUAGGCAGGUCAGCUCAUCACGAAAGAGACGGCAGCCACUGGAACACAAACCAAAAGCCGAAAGAGAUCGCUGCUCGGCAUAUUGGGGUUGGACAAAUUUGUCUAAAGCAGAUGUGUCCAAAGCUGGAAACUCCUUCACAGCGGCAGCUACUUCAAGUCCAAAUUUCACAGCAUCUUCACGGCUAGGUGCCUACGAUGUGUUUAGUUUCUGUUCAGUUAAGAAAUUACGGUGCUUAUGACAAAUUUAAGCUAAAGUUGAUACUGCUUUCAUACCUCAAUGUUAAGAGGAAGGACGUGAUCAUGAAGAGGAAGCCUAAGAAGGAACCACCCUCCAAAGCCAGAAACUCGGACCUGUGUCCAGAAGGAAGUUAGGGAAACCUGUUCUGUAGGAAUUAGGAUGGUGUGAAAUAUACAACUGUUGGGGCCACAUUUGCUACUCAGUUUACUACCUCAUAAUUACUUAAACAGAAGCCGACGUAUAUGCAUUUCUAACAGUAUAUCGAACUGACACCUUCAUAGUUAACAGGUGCUUUCUGAAGCUUCGGAUCUGAAGCAAUAGAGUUCUCCAAGUGCUUCAGCACUGCUUCCCCAUAAUAUCAGAAAGAUCUGCAAGCGUCUAACUCUCAGAAACUUUAAACAAAUCAUGGAGACAUAAAAUGAUCAGAGCUAUGUAAAGCACCAUACCCUCCUUUAAGAUCAGGAUGACUCUGCUUAAUCUUUAUCUCAGUUCCACAGCAAUAGCUGGUUCCUCCAGACGCUCAACCAGAUCUGUUAAACUUUGCUUCCAUCAUCUCUACCAGAAGCCCUGGCUGAAGCAAGUUUAUUUAGGAGUUUGACCUGCACUCAGCAGAAGGUCAAAAAGAACCAAAUUAGAAAAACAAGUCUAUGCGCACUUCAGUAAAUGCUUUGGUUGAUGCAUACAAGCCAACCAAAAGAAGAGGCUUGUCCACACCUUAAAUUAAAAGCUUACCAUCAAGUAUGACCCAUCAUCAAGCCAGUGAUCCUCCUUGAGAGCUCCUUGGCCACUGCUCUCUACGGCCAGAUGUGAUUCUUCUCCAACAGAGUUCUGUCAGCAGAUAUAUUUGCUUUAGUUUGGAACAUUUCAAUGGGUAACGAAGAACUGAAAGUUAAACAAGAUGAUUGGCCAUGUUGUUGUAAAUAGGUGACAAGGACCUCCAAUACUGAACAAUGACAUGGCAAGAUAUGUCACAUAAUGUCCAUGCAUUCUAUUAUUGAGUAGAAAAGAUAGCAUACUAGAGAGGGGACUUCGAAAAGAUGAAAAGUAGAUCAAGAAUUUUGCCAAUGACUAAUGCUGAAAAAGGGCAAACUAUAUUACAUGAAGAGUGAAGGUGCCACGCUUGUUCAUCCCUGUAUAAACCAUAUCAAGCUGUUGAUUGUAAGUCUUUAAAUGUCAAGGGAUCAUACAAAUAAUGCUUAGCACCAACUAUUGGGCAAAGAAAAAAAAGUUUUUUGGAUUCUUAUUAAGUUGUUAACAUCCCAUAUACUUAAUUCAGAUCCGAGCUCUUUCUUGUUCACCUUCUAGCACUCUACCUGGUGGAACCAUAACUGGUUUAAAUAGCAAAACUAAGAUAAAAGAAAUGAAACUUACCAUGCGAAUCGCCUCAUCGAUGACAUUCUUAUAGCCUCUUGUAAAUCUAUAUGGCGCUUUCCCCCUAAAAGAAAUUGCAAGUUAUAAGGUAUGCUCUAGAAGAACAAAGUAAAUACAUACAUGUCAGUUCAGUUUUUAUCAUACCAAGUUCCUUUUCAAUGAAUGAAGUAAGCCCAUCUGAAGUCACACUGUCUGUAACAAUUAAUGGUUGUUCCUGGAUGGGGAAGAUGGAGAGAUUAAAUGGAGCAGAAAACUAAAAAAAGAAAGGCUGAAACUUUGGUUUAUUUACAAAGUGGGUACUGAAAAUGUGGAAGGAAAUAUCUUACUUCCUCAAGCACAAUGGCAGACAUUAAAGCAAUUAGACAUUUCGAUUGAACCCGCGAACAGUGGAAUCCACAGCAGCAGACCUGAAAGGAAAUGCUUAUAGCAUGAAAUGAAAAAGGAAGAAGAAGAAGAAACAUUUGAAUAUAUAAAAUGAACAUAUAAGUUAGAUAGUGAACCUAUUACCUAUCAACCUCUGCAUCAAAGAUGAUCCCCAAGUCGGCCUUGUUGUCAAGAACUGCCUGGGUAAUAGAGCUUUCAUUGCAACUUUAUCCUCAGGGUUGGGAAUAUGAUUUGGAAACAUACUUGAUCCCAUAAUCACGUAUCCUUAAAAUUGUCAAUAUGUAAACCCAAAAUUAAAACACAAACGAAAGUUUUCAGGAUAAAACACUACCACCUGGCUCCAAGAACUGACAACCAGAAGUAAUAGCACCAAAAGGUUCAAGCACCUUUGCCUGGAUAAAGCAAUUGGAAUACAUACCUUAUGAUCAAACUGGGAAAAAAUUGCUGUUGCAAUAAUAUCAUAUAUGCAGACAUUUACUCAGGCUGCAAGCGUCUUUUUGGAACCAAAUGCUUCAGAAACCAGUGAUAGGCAGUUGGUACCAUGAAGGUACCUUCGCCUUUUGCUUAUCUAAAAGAAAUAAAAUCUUAUACUAAAAAUAAAAUAUUGCAAUCUGAGACGUAACAUAAAUUUAUAAAUCAAACUUACUGCAAAAAAUUCUCCUGCACCAUUUCCUGCAUCAACAAUAAUGUGGAAUCCCUCCAAUGGCUUUUCUAAAAGUUGGAAAUACCAAACAACAAUUAGCAAGCAACACCAACGCACUUUUUAGCAACAGAACUGAACGAAAGAUCUUUACCAGUGAUAAGUAAAAUAAGUGACCUUUUUAAAAGAUGAUAAGCACUAAAGAAUGACAUGGAGUUUUGUAUAUAUUGCACCGUGCAUGAUGAAGAAAGAUUGAUCUAUAAAUAAGUUCCCCCUUAUUUAAACAUUUCAGGAAGCUAGUACCUACAUUUCCAGCAGCUUUACGGACUGCCUUCACAAGAUCAGAUGUAUAAACAGCCAUGUAGUCAACCUUUUGAACUGAUGUUGUAAGGAAAUUACUGUAUAUAUCUGCAGCACGCUCCAAGAUGUCUUUUAUGUCAGUUUUCCCAAAGCCUCCAGCAUUUGUGAAGAACUUGAACCCAUUCCUGUUAUAAGGAAAGAUGACUAGCUGUUCACAAGAUAAAGUUUAUCAGGAAAAAAUGAUCCUCGAAAAAUAUUCUAGUUUAAACAAAAGGAAAUCCUGAAUUCACAGAAUAUUUCAUCCAAGGAAAUGAUAAUGACCACUGUGCAGCAGGAUUUUCAUGCAUGUGUACUCUUACAUAUUCAAAGAUGCCAUCCUCAGACGAAUAGAGCCGUAAACUACCUGUUAUCAUAAUAACACCAUCAACUGGACAUAAAAAUGCCUCGUCUUCAGUAAGAGUACUGUUAAAUAUUGCAGGUGUAGAUGCUAAACUACAAAUGGAAAAUGACUUCAAUUAGUAUAAAUGGUUGCGUACAUCAACAAGGAAAACAUAAAUUCUCAAUGGUAAUAUGCAGUAACACCAAUUCUAGACUAGUGAACAGAAAGAGAUAAAAGUAAAAGUAAACCUUACAUCAAUCAACGACACUGCUUUGUAUAUCCUUAACCAUCGAAAUCUCCCAUUUGUCAGAAAGUUAUCUUCAAAAGUUAUCUCCAGGAAGGAUGGAAAUCCUGAAAAGGUAAAUACUUAUGUUGUAAAUUUUCACCUACUACUCCAAAUUUAGAGUAUCUAAUACUUAUUUAAUUGAUUAAAAUCGAUUAAUUUAAAAUUAUUAAAUCGAUUCAAUUCGAUUAAACCGAAUGCUCAACCCUAACCAUUCCUACUUGUUACAACCCAAUUCCAACUCUUUAAACAGCUCAUUCGAGAACAACAAAACGAAUGCUGAACCAUACAUCAAGACCACAAUGCUUUCUUCCCUAACCAUCUAGCAUAGUUUGAUUUACAAAUAGAAACAGGACCUGAAAAAGUGUAAUUGAUAUGACAAAGAUUUAGAUAAAAUUCGUCAUUUUUUAAGGUUUUUUCAUUAAAAAUAAUAAAAUAAAAAACGGUUAAAUUAAUUAGAGCUUAUUAAUCAUAUACACAAUUUUUAACGCUACAUGCUUGGGUGCAACCUCUCUGGGUUGAGGGUAUUUGUUUGAUCCUAUCGGCAACCAGUCGUAUCAAAUUGUUUUGUUUAUCUUUAUAUGCUGGGAAGGCCAUGACAGGGGUCUUAUGUCCUGCACGUGUCAAACAGCAUCACUACCAGACAAGGGUAGUUUUUGUAACCAAAUUUCAGUACGAAUCCAUUCAUGAUGCUUUUCAUAAAAAAUUUCACAUUUUACAGUCAUUGAACAAUUUUUUGUUUUGCAUCAUUACUAUUGCAAUUAAUUAGUUUUUUAUUCACAUAUUGUUGAUAUACUUAUUAAAUGUCAUCGAUCUAUCGGUUCUAAUUUUAUUUUUUUUUAUUUUUUAUCGGUUUACAGUAAAAGAAUUUAAGUUCAGAUCAGGUUUGGCAAUCAGAAGGCCAAUUUAUAUAGAGUCAACUCCAGUUUCAGACACAUCAUUUGGGUGCAAGUCAGCUUUGCCACCUUUCUUCAAAGAAUCCAGGUAAGCACAAAGUGUUAUGGAGAGUAAAGGCAAGAUAAUAGAUGUUGCUGUUAAGAUUGGAUAUAUAUCUUCAGAGUCAUCUCUAUUGUUUGGAACCUGGGAAAUUGUGUAUACUUGCAGAAGUCCCUGGCUGGUUUUAUAGUCACUUUCCAAAAAGACGUGUAUCAAAGACUUCCUCAACCUCAAAACUAACAUUAUUACAUUAGGCAGGUCGGUUCAUCAUGAAAGAGGAGGCAGCCACUGGAACACAAACCAAAAGCUGAAGGAGAUCGCCACUGGGUUUAUUGGGGUUGGACAAAUUUGUCUAAUGCAGAUGUGUCCAAAGCUGGAAAGUCCUUCACAGCAGCAGCUACUGCAAGUCCAAGUUUCACACCAUCUUCACGGCUUGGUGCCUACAAUGUGUUUAUUUUUUGUUCAGUUAAGAAAUUAUGGUGCUUAUGACAAAUUUAAGCUAAAGUUGAUAUUGCUUUCAUACCUCAAUGUUAAGAGGAAGGACGGGAUCAUGAAGAGAAAGCCUAAGAAGGAACCACCCUCCAAGGCCAGAAACUCGGACCUGUGUUCAGAAGGAAGUUAGGGAAAUCUGUUCUGUAGGAUGGCGUGAAAUAUACUACUGUUGGGGCCACAUUUGCUACUCAGUUUAAGUAAACUGUCUCAUAAUUACUUCAACAGAAGCCUAUAUAUAUCUAUUUCUAACAGUAUAUUGAACUGACCCCUUCAUAAUUAACAGGUGCUUUCUGAAGCUUCGGAUCUGAAGCAAUCGAGUUCUCCAAGUGCUUCAGCACUGCUUCCCCAUAAUCUCGGAAAGAUCUGCAAGCUUCUAACUCUCAGCAACUUUAAACAAAUCAUGGAGACAUAAAAUGAUCAGAGCUAUGUAAAGCACCAUACCCUCCUUUAAGAUCAGGAUGACUCUGAUUAAUCUUUAGUCUCAGUUCCACAGCAAUAGCUGGUUCCUCCAGACCCUCAACCAGAUCUGUUAAAACUUUGCUUCCAUCAUCUCUACCAGAAGCCCUGGCUGAAGCAAGUUUAUUUAGGAGUUUGACCUGCACUCAGCAGAAGGUCAAAUAAAUCCGAAUGAGAUUAACAAGUCUACAUGCAUUUAAGUAAAUGCUUUGGUUGAUAAAUACAAGCCAACCAAAAGAAGAGGCUUGUCCACACCUUAAAUUAAAAGCUUACCAUCAAGUAUGCCCCAUCAUCAAGCCAGUGAUUCUCCUUGAGAGCUCCAUGGCCACUGGUCUCUAUAGCCAGAUGCGAUUCUUCUCCAACAGAGUUCUGUCAGCAGAUAUUUUUGCUUUAGUUUGAAAUAUUUCAAUGGGUAACGAAGAAAUGAAAGUUAAACAAGAUGAUUGGCCAUGUUGUUAUAAAUAGGUGACAAGGACCUCCAAUACUAAACAAUGACAAGGUAAGGUAUGUCACAUAAUGUCCAGACAUUCUAUUGUUGAGUAGAAAAGAUAGCAUACUAGAGAAGGGACUUAGAAAUGAUGAAAAGUAGAUCAAGAAUUUUGGCAAUGACUAAUGAUGAAAAUGGGCAAACUAUAUUACAUGAGGCACUCAGGUGCCACAUUUUGUUCAUCCCUGUAUAAACCAUAUCAAGCUGUUGAUUGUAAGUCUUCCUUCAUCUACUCUUUAAAUGUCAAGGGAUCAUACAAAUAAUGCUUAGCCCUAAUUUUUGGGCAAAAAAAAUGUUUUUUUAUUCGUAUUAAGUUUUUAAUAUCCCAUUUAGUUAAUUCAGAUCCGAGCUCUUUUUUGUUCACCUUCUAGCACUCUACCUGGUGGAACCAUAACUGACUUAAAUAGUAAAACUAAGAUAAAAGAAAAUGAAACUUACCAAGCACAUCGCCUCAUCGAUGACAUUCUUAUAGCCUCUUUUAAAUCUGUGGUGCUUUCCCCCUAAAAGAAAUUGCAAGUUAUAAGUUUUUUCUAAAAGAAAAAGUAAAUACAUACAUGUCAGUUCAGUUUUUAUCAUACCAAGUUUCUUUUCAAUAAAUGAAGUCAGCCCAUCUGAAGUCACACUGUCUGUAACAAUGGUUGUACCUGGAAGCUGAAGGGAAGAUGGAGUGAUUAAAUGAAACAGAAAACUAAAAAAAGAUGAAACUUUGCUUUAUUUGUAAAUUGGGCACUGAAAAUGUGGAUUUAGGAAAUAUCUUACUUCCUCAAGCACAAUGGCAGAUACUAAAGCAAUUAGACGAUUUCGAUUGAACUCACGGCCACUGGAAUCCACAGCAGCAGACCUGUAAGGAAAUGCUUAUGACAUGAAGAAGAAGAAGAAGAAGAGGAAGUAAACAUUUGAAUAUAUAAGUUAGAUAGUAAACCUAUUACCUAUCAACAUCUGUAUCAAAGAUGAUCCCCAAGUCAGCCUUGUUGUCAAGUACUGCCUGGGUAAUAGCUUUCAUUGCAACUUUAUCCUCAGGGUUGGGAAUAUGAUUUGGAAACAUACCUGAUCCCAUGAUCACGUAUCAUUACAAUUGUCAAUAUGAAAACCCAAAAUUAAAACACAAAUGAAAGUUUUCAGGAUAAACAGUACCAUCUGGCUCCAAGAAUUGACUACCAGAAGUAAUAGCACCAAGAGGUUCAAGCACCUGUGACUGGAAAAAGCAAUUCGAAUAGAUACCUUAUGAUCAAACUGGGAACAAAUUUCCGUUGCAAUAAUAUCAUAUAUGCAGACAUUUACUCAGGCAAGUUCCUUUUUGGAACCUAAUGCUUCAGAAAACAGCGCUAGGCAGUUGGCACCAUGAGGCCACCUUUGCCUUUUACUUAUCUAUAGAGAAAUAAAAUCUUAUACCAAAAAUGGAAUAUUUCAAUCUGAGACAUAGCAUAAAUUUCUAAAUCAAACUUACUGCAAAAAAUCCUCCUGCACCAUUUCCUGCAUCAACAAUAAUGUGGAAUCCCUCCAAUGGCUUUUCUAAAAGUUGGCAAUACCAAACAACAAUUAGUGACCAACACCAACACACUUUUAGCAGCAGAACUGAAAGAAAGAUUUUUUUUUUUUUUGAUAAAGAAAGAAAGAUCUUUACAAGUGAUAAACGAAUGACAUGCGAUUUUGCAUAGGUUGCACCGCACAUGAUGAAGAAAGAUUGAUCCAUAAGUAAGUUCCUCAUUUACACAUUUUAGGAAGCUAUUACCUCUAUUUCCAGCAGCUUUACGAACUGCCUUCACAAGAUCAGAUGUAUAAACAGCCAUAUAGUCAACCUUUUGAACUGAUGCUGAAGCCUUUUUUCCUGAAUACCCUUCAGUUAGGAAAUUACUGUAUAUAUCUGCAGCACGCUCCAAGAUGUCUUUUAUGUCAGCUUUCCCAAGGCCUCCAGCAUUUGUGAAGAACUUGAACCCAUUCCUGUUAUAAGGAAGAUGACUAGCUGUUCACAAGAAAAAGUUUUAUUAGGAAAAAAUGAUCUUAGAAAAAUAUUACAAUUUAAACAAAAGGAAAUCCUGAAUUCACAGAAUAGUUCAUCCAAGGAAAUGAUAAUGACCACUGUGAAGCAGAAUUUUCAAGCAUGUGUACUCUUACAUAUUCAAGGAUGCUAUCCUCAGAAGAAUAGAGCCGUAAACUACCUGUUAUCAUAAUAGCCCCAUCAACUGGACAUAAAAUUGCCUUGUCUUCAGUAAGAGCACUGUUAAACAUUGCUGGGGUAGAUGCUAAACUACAAAUGGAAAAUGGCAUCAAUUAGUAUAACUAGUUAUGUACAUCAACAAGAAAAACAUAAGUUCUCAAUGGUAAUAUAAAUGCAGUAACACCAAUUCUAAACUAGUGAACAGAAAGACAAUAAACUAACACUAAAAGUUACAUCAAUCAACAAAACUGCUUUGUAUAUAUUCAGAAGGGAAACAACUAUUUUGGAUGUGGUGUGCUCUAAAUAUACUAUAGGGAAAAUUGGCACAUAACUAUCAUAGUGACAUUAGUAGAGACACUACUCAAGCUACUACAAUCUUAAGUAGAUCAUAUCUAUGCCACCUGAAUCAUAGCUACAAUUUGACUUGUAGGACCUUGAGCUAGUUUGCCAAGUUAACCAAAGGUAAGACAGAUUAUUAUGUACAUCAAACUAAACUCAACUCACACAGCUAGUGUAACAGUUGACUAGAAUGACUUUUCCCAGCCUAAAAGUUACUCUUAACCAUUUUAAACCGUGGCAUAAAGCCUGCUGGUCUCAAACAAAAACCAUGAAUUUCAAUUGUUCAAUUCAAUGAUUUUGUUGAGACCUAUAACCAGCUAGACAUGUUUGGAUUACCAUCAUAUGACAAACCAUCCAGUAUCCAAUUAUAUAGAUCAACAUAAAAAAUAGAGCAUCAUCACUCACCCAUAUUGAACAACAUCAAGUCCUGCACCAGAAAUCCCUCGAGAAACAGCAUCCUGGAAAGCCAAUUGCCCAAUUCUCAGUAAUCAAAAAAUUUAUUCACAGUAAUUUUCAAGCUAAUUUGCUCUAGCACUAUUCUCAGUAGUUAAAGAAAUUUAUUCACAGUAAUUUUCAAGCAAAAUUGUUCUUGCACUAAUGAUGCCAGUAAGAUUAGUCAAAAAGAAAGCAUUUAUUUCACUUCCUGUUUCUGAAUAUUUAUAAAAUCAAACUAAACAGUUUUGCCAUAGAAGAAAAAAAAGGAAACUGGCAUGGAGAAAAGUAAAUGCCAUCCCUACCAAAACCAAGAUUCUUUUGCUGACAAGCUAUACAAAAAAUUUGCAAACAACUACAAAAGCCAUUUGUAAAAGUUGUGCCAAAGAGUGCAACUGUAAGUAGUAUCAUACCUAAAUAAGCAUGGGUUAGCUGCAUGUCUUACAGAUGAUCAUAAAAUUAAGAGUAAGAAUAUCCCAAGGACUUAAAUAAUACUUUACAAACCAGAACAUUACCAAAUCUACUAAUAGCAGGUGGAUGAAAUUCAUACGGAGUUAGACUCAGAAUAACUCAAAUAUGGGAGAUACCUGUAACAUUUGUGCAGAUAUACGAGAAUCAUGACCGAUUGAAACUUUCAAUCGUCGAGAUGCAUCAACCUUUUUCUUAUCCAACAACCAUGCAGCAAAAGCAGCAGCUAUUGCUUCCGUAACUGGCUCAGUGAGGCUUACUGGUUCUCCCUCAACACCAGCCACAGCCACACCUCGAAUAUCACUGUAUGGUCAUCAGGGAAAUGAAUGAAUAAGCAAUGUUCAAUCACCAUAGGAAAAAAUGACGAAAUCAAACAAAAUCAUUGAAAACCAUUUUGGUUCCAUUUAAAUACUAUAAACCUGUCAACCCAGGAAGAAGAACUGCCUAAAAGGUGACUACAGAAGCAAACUAAUGGAGAUUAUAUAGAUGGUUGUACUAAAUUUGAGCCAUAUUGGAUUAACUGCAUUCUUUUGGUUUUUAGAUUAUGGUCAUGGCAUGUUACUUGUUAACUAUGCUUCCACAAAAGCAACAUAUGGUGAACUGAAUAUUUACAUUUGAUUGUAAUGAUGGAUAUUUCUUUUAAGUUUCAACAAAACAAUCUUCCCACACAGAAAAGCUAGCAGCAUAACAAGCAGAGGAAUAAUCUAACCAUAACAUGCAGCUGGAUUUAAUAAAUAAUACAUGACUCUAUAAAUUGAUAAAGUGAUGAAAAACCUUUUCUUCUCUCUCAUUUUAUCCUUAUUCACAAGUCCUUCACAAUGCUCUGAACACAGUGAACCCAGCUAUGAGGAAUUCUAAACUAUAGAGCAGUGUGAUUUGUAAGGUAGACGUACUACACUUUUGAAGUUAUCAUACAUCCUACUACAACGUUGAAAUGCAAUAACUGCUCUAGUGAGCUGUUAAUAGACAGACUACAUAACCACUCAUUCACUAAGAGCCAAAGCCACAGAAAACUGACUUAAAAAUCAAUCCUAAACAUUGAACAAAUAGACUUGUAAUACAGUUAACAUAGGAUGAAACAAGGAGAAGAGAAUAAUAACUAAUAACAUAUGGAAACUAAUAAUUGAGGAACAGCUAUGCUGAAAUCAACUAUAAACUUAAUGCAUAAUGCAAUCGGAUGGACACCUCACCUGCCAUUUUGAAGCUUCAGAAAGUCAACUUUGUCCAGAGAUGGUACAGCAGUAGCAGAUGAAGACGCUGCAGUAUAAAUUCCAAAAUGAAAUAUAAGAAUUCAGAAUAUGUAAUAAAAAUUCAAAGUCGUAAUAGCAUCCUACAAACAGAAUCUGCCCUGCCAAUCAAAAAGAGAUAUGGUAAAUGUAGAAAAGACAGACAAUCCAAUGGAUGAUGGCAACAAAAAGAAUAUUAGUGCUUUUGGUUCAUUUAAAACGCAAUUGUUGUAUUUGAUAUCAACCUGGAUAGUGAGAGACUAGAACAGACCGUUGCAGUAAAAGGUUCCUUUGCUAACAAAACCACUCUGGUAUUUCGAUAAGUUGCGCAUUUGCAUGGAAGAGAUGCCAGUCCAUGCUAACUUCCCUCCAUGGAAAGGAGGCAAGGUGCGCAUAUAAGGGGCACAACUGUCCCUUUGAUAUUGGGUCCCGAACUGCCUAUUCUGUUGGUAGCACUGUGCUAUAAAAACAUUUUGAACAACCUUCCCUGACAUUGCUGCAUAAAAUUUGCAAUGUUAUCAGAUUUCAUGUGGGUAAACUCUUAAUUAAUAGGUCAGAGUCAUCUACAUCAUUACUAGUUCUUUAACUCUCAUCAGAAACCAUAAUUUCCUGCAACUGGUUUUAGCAUUUACCGGACCUCAUUAUCUACUACCACUGUUAUUCUAUACCAUCAAAUUUGUCAUUUCAGUCAUCCUUUCUGUUCCCUAUUCUUUGUUUUUUAAUUCAUUAAAUACUUCAAUUUUCACAUUCCAUCCCAAUAAAUGACAAAAAAAAAAUCAACAAGAGAUGUGCCAACCUCCAAGCAAGUAUUACAACCAUGAGCAAAAACUUCAUCCAAAGACAGCAACUUUGAGAAAACCAAGGCGAGACCCACUAAGAACCAUAACCAGUCAUCACAAUUAAACUUAUGUAACUCUUAAAUAAAGGAGAAGCGGGAGUUCAAUCUAAAUUCAUAACACUUAUCAACAACAAAUCCAAAUUAAUCAAAGUUCAAUAUUUUAGUCCAACCCAACUUCAGAAACAAAGUAAACAUCAAUUGAAUGACUAAACAAAUGUAAGAAAUAAUUAAUAAACUCAAAAGGGUGCAUCACUAUUCACUCAUAUAACAAGAUGGCCUCAAAUUCCCAUAAUCAUAGGAAAUGGAAUUGACAAAAGCAAAAAAGAAUCUAUUUUUUCUUUUGGGUGUGUACAAAUAAGAAGAAACUGAAUGAAAGUUGAAUCUUUUUUACCUGCCAUUUGAAGAGGUGGGAGAUUUGAUCAGAGAUAGAAGAAACAAAUAGGGCUGAGAAAAAGAGGAGGUGAUUUGGAGAGAAUGAAAGAAACUAAGAAUGGAAAGCUGUGGAAGAAAGAGUUAGGUAAGUGAAGAAAUCCACAUGCUCAGGCUCAACUGCUGCUGGAUUUUAGAUUCGUGCAGGUGUGGACAAUUUAGCCACGGUGGAUAUUUUAGCCAUAGCCAAUUAAGCUCGAUGAAUACAUUUAUUUGGCUUUAACUGUUAUUAUUUCGGAUUGGUAUCAUUUUAAAUUAAUUUUUUUAAAAAUUAUUUAAAUCAACUCGAGUUUAAAUAAAUAAUUUAUUAAUUUACAUUGUAAUAAUUAUUGUUAUUUAUAUCAAAAUUUAAGUUUUCAGUUCAAAUCAAUUCAAUUUGCAUCAAUUUAAAUUUGAUUCAUUUCAAAUUACUUAAAUUAAGUAAUUAAUUUUUAUAAAUGUAGUCAAAUUAAACCAAUUUCUAUUUUAUCUUAUCUCUUUUCUCAUGACAUGUUUUAUUAUUAUUAUUAUUAUUUAAUACAAAUUGAUAAAAAAAAAUUAAAAAUCAAUUGAUUUUUGAAAAUAUUCGAGAUAGCUAAAUUUAAAAAUAUGUUUUAAAUAACUCAAAAUAAAAAUAUGCUUUUCGACGUGAACUUAUUUUAGAAAAUAAUUGUUUUAUAACAUUCAAGUAAUAAAAUUUUUCUUUGGGUUUUUUAAUGUAAUUUUUAACUCCUAUUUCGACUUUACAAGGCUCAAGCACUACUUACAAUUUGUCGAAUCUAAAUAAUAUGAUUUUAAAAAAAUUAAAUUUUAAUUAUUAAUAAUAAUUAAUAUAAAAUUUUAUAUAAAUAUUAACAAUUAUAUUUGCAUUUGAUGUAAAAUAUUAAUUAUUUUUUUAUUUUUUUACAGAUUGAGAAAAUUUUACUAUUAAAAAGUACUUGUCAAAUGUCAAAUACAAAGAAAAUGUAAGAGAAUAAUAGAUAAUAAGUUUUAAAAAUGCUUUCACUGUUGUAAAAUAUUAUAUUAUAAAAAUAAAAUUAAUAUUUUCCUUAAGUAAAGUGAAUAAGGUAAUACUACUUACCCUAUUAUUCUAUUCACACCUUCUAUAAAAAUAUCUAUAAAUAUCUUUUGUUCCACCGAAUAUCCAAAUCAAUUCUAACAUUCACAAAUUUUGUCUUUUUUUCUUCUUUUGUCUUCUCAUGCAACCUUUUAACAACUGCGCCUGCUAUUUCCCAUUCUUUUGGAUAAUUGAAUUACUUGAUGAAAAAUGUAAGAAAUUACAAAUUACAAAAUUGGUAUAAUAUCUAAAAAAAUUUUAAAUUAUUUAAAGAAUUUUAAAUAAUUAUUUAUUUAUUAUAUUCAGUUAAAUCUUUGUAUUUUUAUUUUAGAUAAAAUAGGCUUUUAUGAUUAACUAUUGAUUAAUUUUUUUAAUCAAAAUACCAUUUGUCAUUUAUGUCAUGUGGUAUUUGCGUGUUUAUAUUAUUAUAUCAUAAUGUAUAGUAAUGUGGUUAGGGGUGGACCCUAAAAUUUUUUCUAGUGGUGUCAUAAUUAAAAUAAUUAAUUAGUUCAUUAAUAUCAUUAACUAUAUACAAGUAAUAUAAUUAGUAAGGAUUUUUGACACUUCACUUGUUUCAACGUUUGUAUGCCCUCGAAUGUGGCAUGGUAACAUGAUCACGACAUCAACAUCAUGUCAAUGUAGAUAAUAAAAAAUAAAUUUAAUUUAAAAAAAAUAAUUUAGGAAUUUUUUAAAACAUUAUACCUUAAAAUAAUAUUAAAAAUUAAAAAAAUAAAUAAUAACAUAAAUGAGUUUAUCAAAUAUUCCUAUCAAACUCCAAUUAAAUAUUUUAGCAAAAAAAAACCCUAAUUAAUUAUGGUGGGCACUCAGUACCAGAAGCAAAUUCGUGCUCUGCAAACGGACAAUGGUACUAAGUAUGAUGAAUCCCUUGGUGAAUUUCUAAGCCAUUCAUUAGUGUCUAAUCAUAUUAUUUAAGUGUGUAAGAGAAAGCUUGAAUUCAUUAAUAUAAUUAUUAUUUGAAAGCAAGUCAAGAUGCUUCUCAAUUACAAGAUGAGUUAAUAAGUUAAAGAAGUAAAGAAAAAAAGACUUAGUAAAAACAUUAUAUUGUUAACAAGUUAACAUGGAAACUCAAUCGAUUAACGUAACACUAGGUGUUACAUCAAAGUGAGAAUGAAAAGCCUUAAUCAGUUAGCUUGAAGCUUAACUGAUUAAGAGGGUAUUGAGUACAAAAUAGAAGCUUAUUAACUAGUUAACCAAAAGGGAUAAUUGGUUAAAGCUCAAACUUGAAGUACUAAGAAGUGUCAAAAUUCAAAUUCAAAGUGUUGAUGGUCGUUAAGGGGCGCCAAACCAAGAGAUUCAAAGUUGAAAGAUUUCUUAAUCGGUUGAAGCCCAUUUUAAUCAAUUGAGGAUUGAAGAGAGAGAAACUUCGAUCAAUUAAAGGGAAGAUUAAUCAAUUAGAAGAAAGCUGGCAGAAAUAGCUACUUGAAGAAGUUUGAAAAUAAAAAGUUUUUAAUCAAUUAAAGGCACCUUCAACUAGUUAACGUAAAGAAGUAGACUAUAAGUUAGAAAGGGUUUAAUUGGUUAAAGCCAUCUUUAUUGAGUUAAGGGGCACUACCAACACAUUUGAAUUUAAUCGUUAGAAGAUAACAUAACAGCUAGUAACGGUUAAAAACUAUCUCUAACAAUUAUAAAUUGUCCACCAAGUGUUUAAAGGGUUUCAAAAGGUCAUAAAUGAUGGGAGAACCAUCCCACAGCAAGAUUAGAGCCUAGAAGUGUUAGAAAAUUCUUUUCUCAAGUCUGCUUCACUCCUACCUUGGUAAAAAUGUUUUGAGCUUAACUUUGUACAUCUUAGAUCAGCUAGGUCAUCUUUUCUUUAUUUCUUUUUCAUUUAGAGUGUACGAGAUAUUCUAAGAAGUAGACUAAGAGCCUAUUUGGCUUGACUUUUUUCUAACUUAAAAGCUAUUAUGAAGCUCUUAUGAAAAAUAAUAACUUUUAAAAUUAAGUUAAAGUUGUUUGAUAAUUUUUUUUUUAUAAGUUAUAAUUUUUGUUAAAAUUAUUAUAGAAGGUAUUUUUUUUAAGAGGGUAAUAUUGUAAUUAUUUUUAACAAAUGAUGAUAUUUUUGGAACAAAAAUAAAAUUUUUUUGUAUUUUUAAAAGAAGAGAAGAAAAAGCUCUUCCUUGGAGCUUUUUUUUAAGCUUUUUUUUUUAAAAUUUUAUUCUUAAAAAAAAAACUACUUUUUUUUAAAAGCUUCUCAAAAGAUCAUGUUUGACCUGAUUUUUACUUUUAAGAGGUAGAUAAGCUGAAAAAAAAAAAAAAACUAGGCCAAACAUGCACUAAGCUUAGGGAUCAUUGUAAGGGUUUAGAGUUUGAGUUAGAAGCUCACCUUUUAAAAGCUUGGUGAAAGUUGUUAAUGUUGGUGUUUAUGGGGGCUUUUGAUAUGGUAUUCAAGAAUAGGCAAAAUUGGCUUCAAGGCGAGCCUUUCAAAUAGACAGACAUCUUUAAGACUUAUUUCGUCCCCACCACUCGGUAUGUAAAGGAGAAUAACGUGAAUAGUCUCAAGGAUAUAAUGAAGCCAACGUCUAACUUUCGUAUUGCACUUACGAAGAAGACCGCUAGAUACACCUAAGGGUUUGCAAAGUUGCUUGGCCUUGAAACCAACUUUCUGCAGCAAGUAGAUGAUAAGGAAUUCGGAAUAUCUUGAAGAUGGUGGGAACUAUAGUGUUUAUGUUUAUAAUAAAACAUAACACUUUCUUGCUCUUGCUACCUACACUUUUAGAAUCUUUGGUGUUUUUUGAUGUUGUUCUAGUAUAUCUAAAAUGGUUGGCACCAAGCCCUUUAUAUAGGCUUCCAAGUGUCUCUUCUUUAAGGACACAACCUCUUCAUAAAGACACCUCUUUGUCUAGAAAUUAUCUUUAUGAUUUUUGCCAACACAACUUUUAGAUAUAGUUAUUGUUUCAAUAGUCAUCUUAUGAAUAGAUAACUAUUCACUUUAACUUUUGAGCAAUUGUGUCUUUUCAAUCAUGUCUCUUAACUUUUGGAUAUGAACUUCCAAGAGACAUAACCAUUCACAUGAAAACAUGUCUAUAUCUAAUAGACACAUUAUGUCACUUUUCGUAACAUAACUUCUGAGCUGAUGAUAGGUCUUCCAUCAUGUGAAAUAUCCUUUAAUUUUGAAAAUACACCAAUAGUUAAUUCCAUUAGUUUUAGUGAAGUUGGAUUGAAAAUCCUUCAUUGGAAAAAUCAAGAUAAUGGACGUAGGUCAAGUGGACCGAACCAUUAUAAAUAUUGUAUUUUGUUCACUUCUUUUAACCUUAUAUUUACUUGGUGCCUUUUAACCUUUACAAGUUUUAAACCUUCCACCCUAAUCUUCCAAACGAAUUUUAAAUUUCAAGAGCUACCAUUAAAAAAUAUAUCUAAGUGUUAUUUACCCCUCUUAGCACUCAUUUUGGAACCAAUAAGUGAUAUUAAAGCCUAACCCUUGAUUUUAAAGACUGAACAUCCUAAGAAGAAGAUCCAAUGAUUGCCCAAAAUUCUAAUAUGGCUAAAGGUCAAUCCAUGAUAGAAUAAAUUACCAAUAUUGGAGCACUAAGAUAUCAAUUUAUAUUAGAGCUGUUGACUAUAAGAUAUGUUAUUACCAAAGGCUCUUUCAUUUUUGGGAAAUCAAAUCUAAUUAUGGGUGAGAGAACUCCCCAAUAUAGAAAUGAGUGGACAAAAGCUAAAAUGAGGAAAGUUCAAGUAAACUUUAAAGCCAUCAAAACUCUCCAUUGUGCAUUGAGUCUUAUAAAAUUCAACAAAAUUUUUGCAAAAACAUCAGUUUACAGUUAGAGAUUAUAAAGGGAAUCCUUGAAACCUUUUGUGUUUGUUCUGGUGAAAAAAUUUGCUUUGAAAAAUCCUUUUUUUUUGUUGUUCCAGAAAUAUUCCUAAAAAUCUUAUUGAUAAUUUGAUCUCAAGUUCUAGUUUCUGGUACUUAGAAGCUAUGGGGAAGUAUUUGGGUGUUUUUUUUUUACAUGGCAGUAAUAGAACUCACCUAUUUCAGUACCUUGAGUGACGCAGGAGCGUCUAGGAUUGUAUUUAGUUUUUACUAAUUUAGUUGAUUUAUGAUUUAUUUUUUUUAUUUUAUUUAGAUUAGGAUUCUUUUCUUAUUUUUAUUUUAAUACUUUUAAGAAUUAGUAUUUGAUUAGGAUAGUCAUGUUCUAUUUAGGAAUAGAACACCUAUUUUAUUUAAAUCUCUUAUUAAUUAUUCUAAUUGUAUUAGAUAACUAGGAGUAGAGUUUUAUUAGGAUUUGGGCCUAUAAUACUAUAACUAGGACCCUUAGGCUUAGUUACGAGACAUUCAGAAUUAUGAGUUAAUAAAUAAUAUUUUCUUAAGUAAGAGUGCUUAUUUCUCUAGGCUCUUUUAAAGAGUAAGAGGUUUUAAUAUCUUUGGCCUAGCCAAUCAAAGUGAGAUUUUGGCUAUUUUUCACCUUAGUGGGGUUUUCAACCUUGCCAAGAUUGGUGAUUCACCUUAGUGGGGUUUUCAACCUCGCCACGAUUGGUGUUUUUCAUAAUGCCUAGGUGUCUUUACAACGCCCCGAUGUCAGUUUGGUAUCAGAACGGGAGGAUUAUUAUUCGCUGCAUAAGUUCAGAUUCGCUGUCAAGUUUCGAUACUCCCUGUACGGGUAAUUUUAUUUCUUUAUAGUUAUAUCAUCAUCUUUUUUUUUCUACAUCAUCAUAAAAAAUAAAAUGCCGCCAAGACGUCAAAAUCGUCAAAGAGAUGAUCACGAGAUUGAGAUUGCAGAACUACGUCAGCAAAUUCAAGAAUUACAAGAGCAACUCGCAAGACGUGAUGCUCAAAUAAACAAUAGCAACUCUAGUGAUGAAGAGAAUGACACCAACCCGUUUCAUCAAAAUUUGUCCUCUGAUGAAGAAGUACCUAUUCGUCGCCUGAGAACUGCUGCUACCAGAGAUUUGGGAAUCAAAGUCGACAUUCUUGAGUUUGAAGGAAGACUUCAUCCUGAUGACUUCCUUGACUGGCUCUACACAGUAGAAAGAGUUUUUGAGCUCAAAGAUAUUCCCGAUGAAAAACGUGUGAAGCUUGUGGCAAUUAAAUUGAAGAAACACGCUUCUAUUUGGUGGGAAAAUCUCAAAAGACAACGAGAAAGAGAAGGCCGUAACAAGAUCAGAACAUGGGAUAAGAUGCGUCGAGAACUCAAGCGUAAGUUCCUUCCUGAGCAUUAUCGACAAGAAAUUUUUAUCAAAUUUCAUAACUUGAGGCAAAAAACAAUGACGGUGGAAGAAUAUACAAUGGAGUUCGAGCAACUUCACAUGAAGUGCGAUGUCCAUGAGCCUGAAGAACAAACUGUAGCUCGUUAUCUUGGGGGUCUCAAUGUUGAAAUUGCAGAUGUUGUUCAACUACAACCAUAUUGGAACCUAAAUGAUGUCAUCAGAUUAGCAUUAAAGGUUGAAAAACAACGAUCACGAAAAAGGUCAAUGAGUUCAUCUAGACAACAAGAAUCUAUCUCAAAUGAUGAAAGUCAGAGUUCAGUAACCAUUCCGCCUCCAAAGGUAAACUCUUCCAAAGCUGCAAGUAGUAACGAUAAAAAGACUACUUUUACUCGUGCUUCUAAUGUCAACAAAAAGUGCUUCAAAUGCCAAGGAUUUGGACAUAUUGCUUCUGAUUGUCCGAAUCGAAGAAUUAUUUCCUUAGUAGAAGAAGAAGAUUAUGUGAAUUGGAAAAAAUUAGAACCAGUCUAUGAUGAGUAUGAUGACGAAGAGAUAGAAAAAGUUUCUGCUGACCAUGGAGAAGCUCUUAUUGUUCGUCGUAACCUUAACACUGCCCUGAUGACUAAAGAUGAAAGUUGGCUUCGUCACAACAUAUUUUAUACAAGGUGCACAUCCCAAGGGAAGGUUUGUAAUGUCAUUAUUGAUAGUGGAAGUUGUGAGAAUGUUGUUGCCAACUACAUGGUGAAAAAGUUGAAACUUCCAACUGAAGUACAUCCUCAUCCUUACAAGCUACAAUGGCUGAGAAAAGGAAACGAAGUAAAGGUAACAAAGCGUUGUUGUGUUCAAUUCUUUAUUAGAAAUAAGUAUGAAGAUGAAGUCUGGUGUGAUGUUAUCCCAAUGGAUGCAUGCCACUUGUUGUUAGGGCGACCAUGGCAAUAUGAUCGUCGAGCUCACUAUGAUGGAUACAAGAAUACUUAUUCUUUCAUCAAAGAUGGAGUAAAAAUUAUGUUGACUCCAUUAAAGCCAGAAGACCAACCAAAGAGACAAGAGGAAGAUAAAGCACUCAUCACUGUGCCUAGCUUAAGCAAAGCUUAUUGUGAGUCAAACCAUUUAUGUCUCUUAUUAGUCUCUAAGGAGAAUAAAGUGUCUUCAUCCUUAUCCAAUGAUGGUCAAACAAAAUUGAUCAACCAAAGUUCGGGAAACUUAUCAAGAAGCUUUGUGGAUAACCAUGCCGUUAACAAGACUACAGUUAAGUAUGAUUUUCCUAUCCCUCGAUUGGAUAACAUGUUCAUUGGCUCUAAAGUGUUUUUGAAGAUGGAUUUGAAGAAAAGAGAUCAACAAAUUCGAAUACGACUUGAAGAUGAAUGGAAAACAACCUUCAAAACAAUGGAUGAAUUGAUCAAAUGGUUGGUAUGGACUAUGACAAUAUAUGGAUCCAGACAUCAACAUGGAGUAUGUCCAGGCCUACUCGUCAGAGCCGAGUUUUUCUGACCCGAGGAGAAUGACGCAGGAGCGUCUAGGAUUGUAUUUAGUUUUUACUAAUUUAGUUGAUUUAUGAUUUAUUUUUUUUAUUUUAUUUAGAUUAGGAUUCUUUUCUUAUUUUUAUUUUAAUACUUUUAAGAAUUAGUAUUUGAUUAGGAUAGUCAUGUUCUAUUUAGGAAUAGAACAUUUAUUUUAUUUAAAUCUUUUAUUAAUUAUUCUAAUUGUAUUAGAUAACUAGGAGUAGAGUUUUAUUAGGAUUUGUACCUAUAAUACUAUAAAUAGGACCCUUAGGCUUAGUUACGAGACAUUCAGAAUUGAGAGUUAAUAAAUAAUAUUUUCUUAAGCAAGAGUGCUUAUUUCUCUAGGCUCUUUUAAAGAGUAAGAGGUUUUAAUAUCUUUGGCCUAGCCAACCAAAGUGAGAUUUUGGCUAUUUUUCACUUUAGUGGGGUUUUCAACCUUGUCAAGAUUGGUGAUUCACCUUAGUGGGGUUUUCAACCUCGCCACGAUUGGUGUUUUUCAUAACGCCUAGGUGUCUUUACAACGCCCCGGCGUCAUUGAGGAAAAAGUUCGCAACAAGCUCAGUUCAUGGAAAGCUACGUCACUUUCCUUUACGGGCAAGCUUACCUUAAUCAAGUCAGUAAUUACUACCAUUCCAUACUAUGCAAUACAAACUUUGGCUAUCCCGAUGGAGGUUUACAAAGGAAUUGAUCAACUAUGCCAUAAUUUUUUGUGGGGUGGAGAUUCGAAUAAUAGUAAAGUCCAUCUCAUGAGUGGGAAAAAUGCUUGCAAACCCAAGAAAGAGGGUGGUUUAGGGGUGAAGAAAUGUUUUAGAACCAUGAAUGAGGCGUUUUUAAUGAAGUAGUGUUGGUAUUUGGUGACAAAAUUGGAUGCUCUGUGGGUUAAGAUUUUACAUGCAAAUUAUAAUAUAAAUAAGCUUAUAUCGAAUCAUUUUCAUAAAAUAGGCGCUUCAUCCUUUUAACUUGCUAUUAGUCAUGUUUAGAAAACAUUUAAGCAACAUGUAAUGUAGGCUAUUAGCAACGGACAAGUUGCAAAGUUCUAGAAUGAUAUCUCCAUUGGGAGAAGUUGCAGUUGAUAUGGACCCAAAUUUUGAUGAAGAUAGUCGUGUCAGUGACUUCGUACUAUCAAGUAGGGAAUGGGAUAUUUCAAGGUUAUCAAAUUUGCUACCUAUAAAUGAGUUGAGUUUACUUUCAAACUCUCCCUUUACUAUUUCGAUGGACAUAUCAGACCAACCUUGCUGGUGGAUAACGUCAUCAGGCCAUGUUACUAUCAAAUCCAUUUAUGACAUGUUGAAAGGCUCAUUGAUGCUACAAGUGGAUGAUAGUAGCAGGUUAUGGCAACUAGCUUGGAAAUGGAAAGGGCUGCAUAGAAUUGGUUUAUUUUUGUUGAUGUGUCUACAACAAAGACUGCUAACAAAUAAGAAGUGGGUUAGGCGUCAUUUGUCAAAUGACUCAGCUUGUCCACAAUGCAGCAUAGAAGAGGAAUCUACCUCGCAUGUUUUAAGAAAUUGCCUUGUAGCGAAAGUGAUUUGGACCAGGUUACUUCCAAAUGGUAAUACUGGGUGGUUUAAUAUUUCUUCCAUAAUUGAAUGGUUUUUACAUAAUUUGAAUAGGUGCAAUUGGCCAGUAGAUGGAAUAUCGUGGGGUGUAAACUUUGGACCAUAUAUUGGUUCUGUGAAACCUCGACUUUCAUAGACAUGCAGCGGAGGUAGACACGAUGAAAUGGAUUAAGGGUAGUUUCGUCAUUUUCUGGGUGAGCUUCUAGAAGUGGGUUUUUCUAACAUUAUUAAGGUCUAAAUAGGCCUAAUAAAUAAAUGAAUGAUGUAUAUAAUAAUGAAAUAAGUGAAAAAAAAUAUAAAUAACGAUAAUUUUCACUGUAGGGGUAAAAUGGUCAUUUUGGGUCUCAGGUCUAAAAUUUUAAGUUUUCAUGAACCCGAGUACCUCUAAUCUAUUAUGGACCUUUUCUUAGUGUCAAAAGAGUAAAAAGUUUGAACCAAGUGGAAGAAGAAGGCAAAGUCAACUAUUGAAUGUCAUUUUUGUAAAUAAAAGGAACUUUAGUCAAUUAUAGGAUAAAUAUAAAAAACUUCUAGCACCUUCUUCUUCUUCUUCCCAUCUCUUCUCUCCAUUUCACAUUCUUUAUCUUCCAUGGAAGCCUCCUUAAAAAAAAAAAAAACCUCCAUGACUUUCUCAAACUAAACCCCAAUUUUCUUGCUUUUGUGUACCUUUUCACAAAGUCCUUUGUGCUCUUUUACUCUUCCACCUUAAAACUCUCAAAAGUCUUAACUUAACACUUUCUUUCACUAGCUAGGUGUUUUAGAGAGAGAAUGAGAGACUUUCUAUAAUAGCUUGGGAAAUUUUGAAAAGGAAUUCAAUUACAAAUCUACCAAGGUGAGUAAUGAAAUUGAGUUGAUUUUUGAGUUAUUGAGAAUGGCUAGUGGCUAGAUUUGUGAGUGUUUUGUAGUUGAGGGUGUUUAUUCAUCUUUAGUGUGACUAUAAUAGUGAAAAUAAAUAUCCACUUAAUGGUAAUUAGAAGCUAGCUAGGAAUAACUAGUAAAACAUGAUUUAGGAGAUAACCUUCAAAAUUUAUAGUUAUGUGAAUUGAGUUGAUUGUGAUGCUAUUGUGUGUGAUAGGUUCCAACAAGGCCUCACACCUCCACACAGUGCAUUAGUCAAAGUUGGAGUCGACCCACAAGCAUUAACAAAAACAUGUGAGUUAACUUGCAUUAAAAAUGUUUUGGAAUAAAUGAUUAUGUGCUUGAUUGACCCACUUGAAAUAUUUUAUUGGUUUUUCUUUAAAAUUGCAUGGGAACAAGCCCUUGAUGAAAUGAUGUGUGUUGUGAAUGUGUAAUAUGAUGAAUCUUUAUGCUCCUAGAUUAUGUGGAUAUAUAUAUGUUGUGUAUGGAUAGUUAAUAUUGUGUAAUAAUUAUAAUCGCUCAUGUCCGGUGUGGGAGUGCACGUGCCGGCGAUGACGGGGUGUGAGAGUGUGAAUGAUGAUAUUACUUGUGCGCGAUGUGGUUGUGCGCGAUGAUGACUCCGGCUAUGUGCGGUGUGGGAGUGCACAUGAGCUGGGUGAGACAGUGGUGGUAUAUGUGUUUAUAUAUGUACAUAUAUAUUUGCUAUAUAGAGAGGUUUGGAAUUAAUAUGUAUUUGCAUUGAAUAUUGAAUGUUGAAAUUGUUAAAUGCUUCUAAAUUGAAUUGCAUUGUAGCAAAACUGGAUUUUUAUUGUGACAAAAAUUCUUUUAACUUAAUUGCCCUGUUUCUCGUUGCAGCGAAAUUCAUUCUCGUUGCAACGAGAAACUCUCGGGUGCUGAAAAAUUUCAUGGCUUGGGUUUUCACUGCAACGAAAAUACAUUCUCGCUGCAGCGAGAAACUCUCGGGUGGUUAGGUAAAAAUGCUGCCUAAAUUUUAGCUGCAAUGAAAAUGCAUUCUUGCUACAACGAGAAACUCUGGGGUUGUUGGUUCAAAAUUUUACCCUGAAGUUCGUUAUAGUGGAAAGGCAUUCUCGCUGCAACUACAUUGCAAUGAGAAUGCCUUUUCGUUACAACAAGAUUCGUUCUACUAUGCUUGUUGUGCUUGAACUUUAUUGUACUUUCACUCUUUAACUUCUUUAUUAAUCAUGAAUUUUUCAAUACUAAGGCACUAAAUAAUCAAGAGUUUAAUUAAGGGGUUUUAACAAGAAAUUGAGCUAAAUUGCAGUGUUUUGAACAUAAGAGCAUCAUGUUUUCUAAAACUUCUUGUAUUAAUACUUGUUCCCUUCUUAUAUUCACUUACUGAGUUUAUACUCAUUCUUUUAAACUUCAUGUUUUCAAACUCAGAGGCAGUUGGGACCUAGACUGAGGCAUUCGCGUGCAUUCACUCUUUGGUAGGUAUUUUGGCAUUAAGUAGUCGUACCCUCACGCAAGGUCACUCCGUUGGUCGUCAGGAGUCUUUUGCAUGUGCAAUGUACAUUAGAUGUGAAGUGCUAAGAUUAUUUUGCAAAUGAUAUAUGUAUAUUUGGAUGGAUGAUUCCAUUAUGAGAUGGUAAUGAAUGACAAUUCUUUGGAUAAUACAAAUAUAAAUAUUUGGUCACUAUGUUAUAUUAUCAAAAUUCGUAUGGUUGAGAAUUGUGGUUUAGAAAUGGUGAUGCAUGAUUGAUGAAAUGAUGAACUCGAUUAUAUAUAGAGGCUUGUUUGGGCUUAGUGGGCUAUGCCUAUUGGGCCCAUGCAUUGGUCAUGGCUCGAGUUUUAAGUUGUGACAGGUUCUUAUGGAAAUGGAGAACUAUGUUUCUGUUCUAAGGCAAAAGAAUACCAAUAGAAAGUCGUUUGACCUUGAUUAAGAGUUUUUCAUUAGCAACUCAUAAUUCUUAUCUGGUGGCAACAGAUUAUAUUAAUUCUUCCAACCCUAGAUGUGAGAAAAUAGUGGUAGGAUGGUUGGCUCCAUAAGUAGGGUGGUGUGUUCUUCAUACAGAUGGGGCACAUAGAGGAAAUAUGGAUUAAAUAGCUGCAAAAGGAAGCAUAAGAAGUUCAACAAGGGAAUGGCUAGAAGGUUUUGCAAUGAAACUGGAUAGACGAAAUGCAUACCACGCGGAAUUGUGGGGCGUCUAUAGAGGAUUAAGGCUAGCAUGGGAAUUGGGUUUCCGCAAGAUUGAUCCACAAAUUGAUGACUUGUUAAUGGUUAAUGUCAUUUCUUCACAACAGACAAAUCCAUAUGUCAACUCGGACCUAAUAACCUACAUCAAGAUGCUUCUUCACAAACAAUGAGAUGUCCAUAUAAGACAUAAAUAUAGGGAAAGGAUUGUUUUAAUCGAUUUUAUGACAAAUAUGAGAUUUUCUUUAAAAGAAUCUCAUUUGUUUUAUAAUGAAGCUCGUAUGACAUGUUAAAGGUUUGUCUCCCCCUAUUGAUUUCAAUACAAAUAAAUUCCUUCCCAAAAAAAAACUAAAUUUACUAUAAUAAGAAAAAAAAUUAAUUAGAACAAAGGACAAAUGAGUAAAAUCAAAUAUAAAAGACCAGAACAAAAGGGUAACCUUUAAAUAUCGUUAAACCGGUGAUAGUCGGUCUAAACGAAGCCACGAUAAAAACUCAUCCCACGCUUUAAAUAUUUUAUUUUCUAGGGUUAGCGGAUUUUGGGAAUUAGGAUUUUCUUUUCUCUGAAAUUUUCCAAGGACCAGAAAAAUUCGAAGAUGAUCGAGGUGGUGUUGAACGACCGGCUGGGGAAGAAGGUGCGCGUGAAGUGCAACGACGACGACACGAUCGGAGACCUGAAGAAGCUGGUGGCGGCCCAGACGGGUACCCGAUCCGACAAGAUCCGGAUUCAGAAGUGGUAUACGGUUUAUAAGGAUCAUAUUACCCUUAAAGAUUACGAGAUCCACGACGGCAUGGGCCUCGAACUUUACUAUAAUUAGGAAAAAGGGUUGAUAGGUAUUUUUAUUUUUAUUUAUGUAAUUUUGCGUGGUUGCUGUGUGAAGAAGCUUUAACUUUAUGUGUGGAUGUUAUAUAAUUGUGGAUGAUGGUAUUUACUAUUUUCUAGUACUUUUUAAGAAAUUUUAAGGGAAGAAUUGUUAAAUUUGUGGUUCAAAUUAGUAUAUUAGAAAGUUUUUUAUUUUAGUUAAUAAUUUUUUAGAUAUGGUGGAUUGGUUGAUUUGAGGCACUUGCUUUUGCAUGUUUAAGCAAUUUAGUAUUGUUUUUAUUGCUCAAAACUCCAAUUUACAUGUGAAAUUCAGUUGAACAAAUUAAUUCUGUGUGAAUGCUUAUAGCUAGUGGGUAGAAUCAAUUUGAGGUUUUGUGUAAAAGUCCAAAGCUCUAGUAGCUUGACUUGGACUUGAUUUGGCACUGCUUUUAUAGCUGAAAAUUGGGGUAAAAGAAGUAUGAUUUGGAUCAAUGGCGAAAGCAGGUAGAGUAGAAUUGUAUUAUCUUGUUUCGUAUUCCUUUUGUGGUCAAAUUUAAUGUUUGUGAUCAAAUAUAGUUUCAAUUGCAUUACUAGCUGAGACUUUAAGUUAAUAACUUUUAUGUUCAAAACUUGCAACAUAUGAGUUUGUAAAAUCUCGACUGGUUGAUGCAAAGCUGUGAAUUCAUGCCAGUGUUAGAUUAACAGCCUUUUCCUUCGUCUGAGUGGUUCUUUUCACGGUCCUAUCAAGUUCUCCAUGCAAUUUAGAGCCCCAUAGAUAUCAAGGUUUGAUGACUUGAUAGGGUUCCAAGAGAGGGCAGCUCUGCAUCUCGAUCUAACUGGUUUUGGUUUGUUAAUAUUUGAAAUUGGAACUUGCUGAAGCUCAUUGCUAUAUAUGAAGGCAAAAGUAGUAAUUUCCACUGGGGACUUUCUCUUUUCCGCCAGAGUUUUUUAAUAUCAAUGUUCCUGCUACACCAGAUUGCCCAUGCUAGUGGGAAAAUUCCAAUCACCAUCUCCUGCCUCAUCUGUACAUGGUACAACCCCAUGGGCCAAUCCAGUAUAUGUUCAAGGCCUGAAGAUAAUCUGGAAACUUUCCAUUCUUCAGGUCUCUUUUGCCCAUAAACAAUCUCUUAAAAUCUUAGGCUUGAGACUUCCAUGAUUGGUGGUUUCGAAUCUCUUCUUUCCUUCAAAUUUUUGUCACAUGUAAGAGUAAAAUCCGCGUAUUCUUCAAGCCAUACACACAACUCCAUAAUUAUAUGUGAGAAUAUAAGGAUCAGCAUUGUUAUGAAAAAUCGUAAGCAAGUAGUCCUAAUCAACUUCUGGCCUUCAAAUGUCUUCUCGACAGCACGGUCUAGUCAAAGUUGUCGUGUUGUUUGUUUGGCGUAUUUGUUCUUUUUGGGUAAAGAGUACACCGUUGCUAUCUGAGAUAUCAUUUUUUUCUUACUCUUUGUUAUGCUUUGAGCAUUCAUAGAGGCAAUAGAUGAUCCUAGGUAUAACUACAUCUAAAAAUGAUAAAAGUUACCGUGUAAAUGCUAAACAAGCCUGCCCAUGUUUGAGCUCGCUUCUAAAAAAAAAAAAACUCAGACGAGUUAAAUAUUUCAAAGUUGUUCACAAAAUGCUCUAUUCGUUUACAACCCUAGAGCUGAAGCCUUGCAAUCGAUCUUUGAAUGGCUACUUGUUGUUGGGCACUUUGUGGUGAAAACUAGUGAUACCUGCUUCACUUCUCAUUCUCAAACCAUUUUUAUUAUUAUUUUUUCUACUUCCAUUGUUGAGCCCACUUAACUCAGAGCUGCAAAUGCGUUCGGUGCAGGUUUGGCUAAGCCCAUGAUUAUGGUUAUUAGGGUUGUAAUCUUAAUCAGUGACCCAAGUCUAGAGGGGUUUUCAAACUCCAAAGAGUGAUUUUGGGCUUGAUGACAUAAACAACUAGGGCUGUACCCAACGAUUUGGCACUUGAGAAAGGAGGUGUAAAGUUGAGUUCCUUGAUAUGGACAGCUUCUAAUUGCUUCAAAAAUUGAAGUUAGAUUCUUAAGCCGAAUAUCCUCCACUUUUGCCUAAAUGAUCAGCUGGUUAAUAGACAAUAUGGCUUAUACUAAAGUUUUUUUUCUUUUAAAAAAGGAGAUUCAUCAAUAAAUAUUAGGAGAAUACUAAAUGGUUCGAAAUUACGAUAACAGAAAUAAUGAUAUAUAAAGGUAAAUAAUGUUAAUUUUAAAAAUAAAGCAUAAUACUUAAAUAAGUUUCUAAAUUAUUCAAAAAAAUUUAAAUAAGUUUUUAUUCUUUUAUUGCAUUCAAUCAAACUCUUAUACUUUUAUUUUAAAUCAAAUAAACUUUUAUAACUAAUGAUUGAUUAAUUGUAAUUAAUCAAAAUGUCACUUGUCAUUUUAUAUUCACAUGAUAUUAACAUAACGUUGAUCUAGAGAGUAAAAAAUAUCACGUGAUCAAUUAUUAUAUCAAAUUAACAUAUUAUGUCAUCAUCAUUAUGAUAUGUCUACAUGUCGCAUCAUCAUAAAUUAUAAUAUGUUAACAUAUGACGUUAGCGUCAUGCGGUAUAAAAUGACAAAUAACAUUUUAACUGAACCAAUCAUUAGUCAUAAAGAUCUAUUUGACUCGAAAUAAAAAUAUAAAAACUUAUUUGAUUCAAAAGAAAAGUAUAAAAACUUAAUUAAACGUAACAAAAAUAUAAAAUUAUUUAAUUUUUUAAAUAGUUUAAAAAUUUUUUUAAAUAUUAUACCUAAAAAUAAUUAUUACUAUUCUCGAUCAUUUACCAUUUUCCUUUUAACUAUUGUUUUCAUGUUUUGUCCUUGACAAAAACCAAAACUCAUUAAACAGAAAUCAAAUUAAGACAAUUAAUUGGUCCAAAUCUUGACGGUGUGAUUGUGUUUUCGCAUGCCACAUUGUUUAAUUGCGUAUGCAUAGGAAACUUAAAAGCAAGUAGGAGAUUUUUCAAAUCCCAUGUUGGAAGUAGUAUAAUUUUCCUGGGGGUUGACUCCUGGACAUGCAUAUAUAUAAAAAUCAAUGGGAGUUCUUGGAUCCUGCUCACUGAUACCAAACAUUAAACAUCAUGUUGCCAAUUUCAUGCUAUAGAAAUCCACAAUGAGUUACCACAUUCAACGCUUUCUCUAACCUAAUAAUUACCAUUUAUAAAGUGUUGACAAUUGUUUCUUUCUUUUCUCCUUUCUUCAAUAAAACUAACCCUAUCUUUUUCUUCUAGAAAAUGAAAGUUUAUAAUUAAAAUACCAAAUUAGUUCAUACAGUAGAUUUAAUCUCUUUAUAAUAAUUUGUCAAAAUUAAGUAAUGAUGCAAUACAAAUGUGGUACCAAUAAUGAAUUCAAGAUUUUAUACAAAAAGUGAUUAAAGAGUAAUCAUAUAAGAUUAUAGAUCGAAUCAAUAAUUUCAUUCGGAGUAAAAAUUAAAAAACUAAAAAAUGAGAGCCGCCUCUCCUCGUCAUCACUUUCAAUCUACUCCUGUGUGGUACUACUCUAUUGCUGACGCGAUCUUUUUAUUUUUUUUCUAAAUUUUUAUUUUGAAUUCAACUUUCGGUGGAGACAUGGAUGGUUCUCUGUCAAAUUGUUCUCUAUGUUUUGUUUGAAAAGAUAAAAAUGAGAACAAAUUUAGUUUUCUGUGUGCCCAUCUUGAUCCAAGAGUUGCAAACUUUCAAUGUCAAAGCAUGCCAACCAAUUUACUUGUCUAAUCUUCUAGUAAUGUUUUGGUGUCCUAUAGAGCACAUGUGACAUGUCUUAAGUGUGUGUGUGUAUAUAAAUAGUAAAUUAGGUACAUUCUACUGAUUUAGGUAAAACCAUAAUGAUAAAAAUUUUUACCUUUAAUUUAACUAAAAAAUACUAAUUAAAUGAACCGAAUCAAAACAUAAAAUACCUUCAAAAUCAAUAUUUUGUUUCACAAAAUGAUUAUUCUAUUUUUUGUUAUAUAAGAAAAAUGAUCAAGGUAAUAAGAAUUCUUACCCGGCUAUUCAAACUCAUUAUAUGGGAAUUGACUUAAUUUUAUGUUGAUUUAUUGAUUUAUUUUAUUAUUAGAUUGUAAUUAUGAUUUUUAUUGAUACAAAGAGAAAAUUGUAGAUAUUAUUAGGCAAUAUCUCAACCACCAUAUACAAAGACACCCACGGUUUUUAGCCCUAAAAAUCAAAACUUCAUUAUUCAAUAUACAACCUCAUAUAAUCAACAAAUGUUCCAUUAAACUAUCUUUAAUAAUGUCUAAGUCAAAAAUGAGUAUUUACAAUAAUUAAAAAGAGUUAUAUACAAUGACAGAAUCAAAGUGGUGAUGACCAUCAUCGUUUAAUUUUUUAUUUUUUUAUUAUAAUAUAUGUAAAAUUUAAAAUAUAUAAAUUUAUAAUUUUUUAUGAUUACUCUUUAAUAGCUUUUCAUAUAAAAUUCUUAAUUUCUCAAUUAUAAAUAUAAGCUAACGAAUGGGAAAUUAAAGAGAAAAAAGCACGAUAAUAUCAGGAGAAGUUCAAUUUUUUUUUUACAAGAGAGAUUGAAUAUUGGUCAAAUUAAAAUUAUUUUUGUGAUGUGAGGAGUGUGUCACUUUGAACAUAAAGAGUGGGGCCAGCAUUCCUUGAGUCACGAAUCUUUGUCUGCCUUGUGCAAUUCCAAGUGAAGCCAGUUCAAUGCCUUGCCUGUUUGACCCUCCACUCUUAACCCCAGCUGGUUAACCCCAAUUUGGCUUUUUAUUAAACCAGAUUCAAAUCCCAAAGGGAUGUGUUGUUCAUGGUGUUGUCUACCACAAGAGUCAAACUUUCAUGGUUGGAAAUUUUGUUGAAACCUUUUCUUCAAUUAAAAAUAUCCCCCAACACUAAUUUGGUUGGUUGUGCACUUGUGCAUGGAUUUCACCACAUUGUUUAUGAUUUUUUUAAUUUUUUUUUUAAAAAUGACACAACAUAACAGCACUAUCUCGAUAUUUUGAAUUAAGACGAAAGAUCAAGUUAUAUCAAUGUAAAAAUUAUUAAUUAUUACAUAAUUUUGUACCCAAACCUAGUUACAACAAAUGGUUGCUAAAACCACAAUUGAGUUAAAAGAAACCAUACACUUUGAAGCAAAAAUAAUGCAAGUUACAAAUUUACAGUGACAAAGUCAAAGUCGAGAUGAAAGUGUAAUCGUCAUCUUUUAAUUUUUAUUUUUUUUAUUAUAUAUCUAAUUUAAAAUAUACAAAUUUAUAAUCUUGUUUGAUUACUUUUAACUAUUUAUCAUGUAAAAUUUUCAAUCUAUCACUGUUAAUUAAAUAUUUGUUUUAUACCUUUUCAAGUGAAAAGUAAUCUCAUCAAGUGCAUGUGAAAGAGAGAGAGAGAGAGAGUGCAUGGCUUGUGGGGUAGUUGACUUUGGUUAAACUGUGUUUUUAAUUACGAGAGAUGUAUGUGCUUGUCUUUGCACAUCCGAUGCCUUGAGACACGGCUUGCCUCGUCCCUCCCUCCCUCCCUCCCUGUUCUGUCAUCAUCUCAAUACAAAUGGUUGUAUGUUAGGUACAUAUAUAUAUUUUUAAUAAUAAUAUUUUUUAUAUACAUGGUUUAAUAAUAAGAGAGAAAGAGAAAUAAGUGAAAAAAAAAUUUCAUAAAGUCUAAUAAUAAUUGAUAUUCAUAAAGAAUCAUAAAAAUGAAGUGCCCAAACUUUCCAAUAAACUAAUUGACUAAUAUCUAUUAUCAAUUUAUUGAAGUCUGGUCCCAAAAUUAGUGAUUUUUUCUCCUUUAUAUUUUUUUAAUUGGGUUUUUUGUAAUAAAAUAUCGGGUUCAAUUGUGUUUAAAAAAAUUUCAUAUAUGCAAUCUUCGAGUCUUAAUUUUUAAAAAAAAAUUAUGAAGAGUCUUAUAUAAGGUUUUUUUUUUUUUCUCUGUCAUUGAUUACAGACACGUGUAUACAACAGAAAUUCCGCAGUCUUCAUGCUUCAUUACACAACAUGAUCAAAUUUCAAAGCCACCCCCACCUUCCCCUGUAGUUUGGUCAACAUAGGAUCCAAGUUUUACUGUCUAAAAUAUUGACAUGUCUUAGCUCUCAGAACCUCAUAGCCUUCAACCCAAGACAAGUCCCUUUCCUAUUGAAUCUCCCACCAGAUCAAGGAUGGCAACUUAAAAUAUAAAUGAUUUAAGGGAUUUGAAAAUUGCUCAUUCAAUUUAGUCCAUGCACUAAGUAUUUUCUCUGUGCUUCCCCAAGCAGCAUGGUUCCCACUAAGUGUGAAACAGAUAACCAGUUUCUAAGCAAGGAUCUGGGGUUUGGUUCUUAUCCCCAUCUGAGAAGUUUCAGACAGACAUGACAAACAAACAAGCAGGGGGGUUAGGUUAGGAUCUCUAGAAAUUGUGUGCAAGUAUUACAUAAUAAGACAUGGACAAGAGGGUCCAGAGAAAGUGUGCUUUAUCUGUCUUAACCUGAGAGAAGUGAUUCAAAAUCAAAGAAACGGCCAGAGAAAGCUAAUAAAGACAUUCCAACCUAGGCAAAAGAAAUGUCUCUCCCUGUUGUAUAAACAAAUAUAAAUCCAGUUUCAGUCUAGGUCUAGGGUUCUCUUGAAUUAAGUUAUUAAAACAUUGACUUUGUGGCUUGCUAGAAAGUUAAAAAUCUAAGAUCCUUUACGCUAACAACAGGUGGUUAAUGAUGCUUUGUCUUAUUCCUGCCAAUGUUCAAAAAAGAACACGCUAUCAGACUAGGACCAUCCAAUGUUCAGACUGACAGAGGCUACCUCAUCAUAUUGAAAUAUGGUUUUCUUUGCUUAGCAAAGGAAAAGAAACAAGAAACAAACAAAGAGUUGUACGACUUUUUAACCAUGGUCCACAUACAUUGAAGCAACCAAUUAGGAAUUCUACGUACAACAUGCCUCUACUGAAUCAAAUGUCAGAAACUCCAUGCUAAAAUGCACAGGAAGAAGCUGGCAAGAAUUCUUCUAUGAAACAAAGAAAUUUGACAAAUAACUUGGCAGGUUAGCAACCAUUACUGGUCUUGAAGUCAUCUUGAUAGAGCGAAAAGUAUUCUCCAUUUCUUCGGUAGAUAUGCAUACAAAGCCCUAAGUAGGAACAUUUAUUCAGCACUCUGCAGCCCUAAACUCCAUACACAGCAAAAAGGCUGUGCUUUUUCUGUUAUAAGCUUACAGUUUCUAGGACUCGAAUUAGAAAUUAAGACAAAGGAAAUGGAUCCUUUUCUCUCCAAAGAAAAGUUUAAGCUAAGCAACAAAAUGUGGUUUACGGUAUCACAAAAAUGGGUAAAGUGGAUCUUUCUCACAACUACCCAAGAAGAAAUGAAAUGAAAAGCAAAACCAAUGACUUGGAAACUGUACAAUUAGUGAAAAAUGCUUGAUCUCUAUCUUCCUACGUUGUCACUGCCUGAAUCCAUGAGAAUUGUUAGCCUCCUUGCCGUCUUCAGAAACUCACUGCAAAACAUAAAACAAUAAGAAAACAUUAUUAACAUCUGACAAAUCAAAAGCAAAUGUUUAGCAAGCAAAAGGAAGUGAUGCUAAAGAACAAUUAGAUUACCUGAAGGGCUCAUCUCCUGUGUGUUUAACAGAACCAGCAGCAUCGCAGUAGAGCACACUGCUCAGCAUCUCUGAACUUUCUAUACCAAACAUGUUGGCCAGCUUCCCAUGCAGCUCUUCAUAUGAUCUAAGAACCGAAAGAUCAAGGGUUCUACCCACAUUCUCUGAUUCCAUAAACACUUUACAAUGACCAGUCUCCAAGCCGAGAUCAGAUCUUUGAUGCUCUUUGCACCAAGGAGACGCUUCCUCUGAAGAAUUUUCCUGAGCGUUUUGAUGUAAUGCAGAUCCAGAGCCAUCAGAAGAAAUUGCAGUCUUCUCUGUAUUCCCAUCAGAUGAACUGUUUCCAACUGUAUCACCCGAGAAGCUCUGGGAAGCCUGCUGCUCACUGAAAAUGAGUUGACCAAACAAUAAAAUAUGAGGUGUCUUUACUUCAUUGCUUUCUUUCAAACUCUGGGUAGGAUUUCCCGUUGUAAGCAUGCAAGAUAUAUUCUUUUUGUUCACAUGGUCACUAGACAAGUUGUCAUUGGAGAUUCUAGUUGGCGGGGCAGUAUGAUCAAGUUGCUGUAAACCAAGCGGAAACAGUCCCAACUGCAGCUUGUUGGAGUGGAGAUCUGAUGAAGAUAACCCGAAUGGUGCAUGCCUGGCUCCCUGUAUGCCUCCAGGAAUGUUGUCUGUAAUGCAACAUACGGGGCUGCUGGACCUGAGAGAGUUGCCAGAGAAUGAUGGCAUUGGAAUUUGGCUAAGUAAGGAAAAGUCUGGGUGUUGUGGAAGUCGCAUCUUUUUCCUAGGUGGUGAGAAAGGAUUAAGAUGGAUUGCUGGUAUGUUUGAGACCAAUUCAACCAGCCAUGGGCUAACACGCUUCACAUUAUGGAGUAAAUCUGGCUCAUCCCAUGCUACCUGAAAGAUGUUAAUUCAAGAAGAAGAAAUUAGAAGCAAAACUAUGAGCAGAAGAUAAAGCUUAGAAAAUAACAUAUGAGAAUAAAUUAAAUUCUGAAGGCCACUAAUGAAGAGCAUAGCAUUGCUAAAACAAUAACAACACAUGGAGUUAAACUAUGACCAUAACAUAUGAGAAUGGUAAAAUACCUGCAGAAGACGCCAUGGAGAAUUAGGCCAACGGAUGGGAUCAACAACCUGAACAGAAGAUAUUGUUCCCAUGAACCAGCUAAUCCGUGAAGAGUCCUCAGUUUCAAAAGCCAUUUUGAACCUCAUCCCAGGAUACCAUUGGAUUUGCAUUGCUGCUCUAAUUGAUGAGGCCUUCACGCAGAACUCUGGAGUGCUUGCUCGUGGAUAGUAAACAACCUCAAAGGGCUGCCCAUUGGCUGCACAAGUCGCAGCUUCAAUAACAGACUCAACUCUUACUUUUCCCCUCAUAUCCCCAUUAGAGUCCUUCCUCAUCGAUUUACUCUCAUCCUCCCUAAAGAAUGGAGAAUAACCCCCAAAUUGUGAACCAGAGCUUCCACCCCCUGAAUUCCACCCACAUGGAUACUCAUGUCCACUCCCAAUUCCUCUCUUUGCCCUACGAAUUCCCACACAAAGAUCUCCGUUCUCUGUUCUGAGAAACACAAUUGAAUCACCAGCCACAAGCUUCUUCUGAUUCACAAAAUUACUCCACCCCGUCGUCAAAAGAUGUCGACGAGGUGUCCCCCUGUAUAUAUGCCUAAAUUUCCAAACCUCACCAUGGACAUCCUUGGCAAGAAUGGUCUGAACAGGAGGUUCUGCAUUAUAAUCCAGCCUAGGAAAUAUAGUCUCCGCACAAUAGCGUGGAACAGAGAAACCCCCACCAUUAUUAGCAUCAGAUUGAGUCAAUGUCUUAGCAAAGGAAGCUGGUUUCUCAGGAUUCUCCAUCCCAAUAUUUCCAUCAAAACCAUCAUCUUCAUACCCAAAAUCAUUUUCUCUCGAAGGGACCAACAUAAUUUUAGAAUAGACCUCAUCCGUUUCAGGAUCUGCCAUAUACUUAACAGCAGCAAUUCGACAUAGAACAAGUGAAGGAAUCAGAAGACUCCCAAAAUCUACACUCCCAUUGGCAUGUUCAGCAUGACCCUGAGGGAAGUAGAACACCUUGGUGUUCACUGAUGGCAUUUGUACCAUGCCACCAGCACAGGCAUGCCACAGUUUAGGAUCUAAGCAUUUUUCUGAAUUCUUCAAGAGUUCUUUCCUAGAAUCCAUAACUGUGAUCAUCUUCCAAUUCAGGUGGUCUAAAGCAUACAAAUAACUACACGUCCUUUGCUCUGUUUUCUCACUUGAUGAUUAUUCUGCUAGUACAUGAAAAUUAAAAGUAUCUUUAGCAAAACAACCAACUUUUUUUAUAUAUAAAAUCUACCCAAAAAAACAAAAAUUGUAAAUAAAGAAUGAUAAAUUUAUAUAUUUUUUCUAGUACAGAAAUAUUUUUAAUCAAUACACUACAUAAAUGGCAGAAAAUUAAUACAGAACUAAAAAGCAACCAAAUGAAACAGAUAAAUUAGCUGAUAUUGAACAAAACUGAAAAAGAAAAAAAAUACAAAACAAAGAAAAACAGAAUUUUUCAUAGCUAUAUUACACCAUAUGUUCCAGAGACACAAAAAAAAAAAAAAACCAUUCAAAGAAUUCACUUGAAAGAAAAAAGAGCAGACAUUAAAGAAUUAAAAGACCUUACCUUUUGAACAAAAGGAAGUAUUUUUCCACGAAAAGAAAGACAACCCAGAUUAAAAUGAACCCAAAUAAGCACAACAAUGCAGGAAACUCAAACCUUUACGGCCAAAACAAAAAAUAAGAUAUAUCUCAAUUAAAGAGAGAUAUAUCAAUCAAAGACUCUGAGAAGGAAAAGAAAAGAAGAGAAAACCCAGUUUCAACAAAACAAAAAAGCAGGGUCUUUGAGUUAAGGGAAAGUGAAGAGAGACUGAGAGAGUUUUAAAGAAGAAGAGAAAAGUAAGAGGAGAGAUUUUUUACAGUGAAAGUUUUUGUGUUGUUGCCGACCAGAGGACUGUGGAGAGACUAACAACUAUGAAUGAGGAAAAAAUAGUAUAAGAAAAAGCAAAGAGUUUAAUUUAUUAAUUAUUAAUUUCCUUUUAGGAUCGAGAAGGAAAAAGGAAGAUUUUUCUUUUUUCUUUUCUUUUUGAGUGGAUAUGGAUUGUAAAAAGUCCAAGAUCAAAGACAAAUUCAGGUGAUUUUGCUUUUCUAUUUUUUCCUUUGGCUUUUCUUUUCCUGCCUUUUUCAUUUUUUUUCUUUUUUACUAGUAUUAACUCUUCUUCUUUUACUUUUGUUUUUUAUUUGUUGGGUUUCUUUCCCACUCUACUCUCUAUUACCCAAGCGUGAGUUACACCUGUUCAAUCCCUUUUUUCCAUUUGGGUCUCCCAAUUUUGCACUAAAUUUUAGGUGAAAUUCCUAAGAUUUUCAAUGAAAUCAAACUAUCAAAGUACCCUAUAGAACUUACUUAUUAUAGUUAUUUUAUGCAAUAAAUUGAUGAUAAAGUUUAGUUUAUUAAAUAUGGUAAUUAAAAUUUUAAUAGUAUAUAGAUAACAUGGAUCGAGUGCAUAAACAUCUAAAUUUUAAGUGUUAAAUGACUUUAUUUAUAAAAAACAUUAUUUAUUACAUUUAUAUUAAUUAAAUAUAUACAUUCGAUUCUCAAAUACUAAAAAAUUACACUCGAAUUUAAUUCGAGACAUAAAAAUAUAUACAUGAUAUAAGAUUAAAUUGAAUGGUAAUUUAUAUAUUUGAGUAUUUGACUCAUUAGUUGAUAUAUGAUCUCUUAUUUAGAGAGUAAAAUUUAAAUUUUUUUAAUUAAAAAAAUUAAAUGAUAAUUUAUUAAAAAAAUAAAAUAAAAAUGAAAAAAAACAAUACCUUAAAUGUAAGUCAACGAGCACAUGAUUGUGGCCUCAUUUUGACAAGAGUGUCUACCACGCGACAGAGAAGCAAGUGGAAACAUAUCCCCUACAAAUCAGAAAAGGAAACAUCCAAAUAAUAAAAAAAUAAACAGAGAAUUUAUUUUUAUAAUUAAAUAAAUCUGUGUUCAAUUAAAUAUUUGAAUAAUCCCAAAAAAUAAUAAUUUUUCACCUUUUUCAUAUCACGAUAUUUUGCUGGAAGAUAUCACGAGUUUCAUGUACUCUGAAAUCAAGGCUGACUACAGUUAAAGUUUUCAUCUUGUCCGAGGCCCUAACUCUUCGGGGCUAACCAUGGUUAAUUAACCUUUUUUUUUUUGUUAAUCAGGUUUAAUCAAUCCAAUUAAUUAACCAUGGUUUAUGUUCAUUGGUCAACACCAUGACUCUUCUUCCACUGGCUGUUAAAUGUGUUUCCUGAUCUUUUGGUCUUAGGGACAAGAUUUGAUCCUUGCCACUCGGUUGGAUUAAUUUAACAUAAAUUAAUAAAAAAAAUUUACUUAAUCUACAAUGUGAAAUUACAAAUUUACCCUUCAAAUUAGGGUUUUUCUCUUUCGAUGCUUUCUAAGUUUAGAGCAUGUUUAAGCUUUAAUUAAAUAAGGCCUCAAAGCUUCACAACUCUCUUGAUUAUGGCUUUGAAUUUUGAUACUCCUUUGAAUAAUCAACGGGUUUAAAAAUCUUAUUUUUAGACCUUUUGAUUAAAUAAAUAUAUAAAUUGAGUUAUCGUACGGUUAAAUAUGAGUUUAGUAAUAAAUUAUUUUGAUCAAGCACAUAAUUACCCUUAGACUUUUUCAAUAGGAUAUUUUGUCUCAAUCUGAGUUAAAGACGGAUGUGCUAAUCUUUGAUUAAAGGAUAGAGAUUAAAGCGAGAUAGUUUGCAAGGAUUAGGGAAUUACGUUGGCAAUAUGAUGCUGACAUUGAGAUUAAGGACAAUUUAAUCUGUUUGAUUACAUGCGUUGCAUGAAAAAGCCAAAUUAUUCGGCACUUGAUUAAGACCUUGGUCGGUCUACUUUUGGGGUUUCUUUUUUUUCUUAGGCUGCCAAAAUUUGAGGCAACAAUGCAAAAAAAAAAAAAAGGUUUUUUGGUACAAUUUUGAAUGUGCAUUUUGGAUUAAUUGAGUUCUAACCUCAUAUUAGGGUUAGAGAUGAAUUAAUGAAUUAUGUUAUUUUUUAUAUCAAAAAAAAAUUAUUAGGGUUAGAGAUGAAUUGCGAAUAAUAUUAUUUUCAGUACAAAAAAAAAAUUAGGGUUAGAGAUGAAUUAUGAAAUAAAACCAAAAGUAAUGAUUAUUGUCAUAUUUUUUUCAAUUUAUUUACUUCAAGAACAAAUUUUCCUAUUCCUAAAGGCUAGAACAUGAACUUAAUCUUUUCUAAAUAUUAAUUGUUUGAUACAGACCGGAUACCAAUCUAUAUAAACUAUAAAUGAACAUUUAAGAUGGCAAUGGUCAUGGGGAAAAGGUGAGCCAUUGCCAUGCACCUCUAUGUUCAACUUUUUUUUUUUUAUUUUGCUAAAUAAUUUUGUCAAUAAAAAAAUAAAUAUGUUUGUGUGUGUUUUUUUUGUUUUAAAAUAUUAUAAUUACAAGUGCGAUUUUUACCCAAAAAAAACAUAAAUGAUUAAAAUUGAAUAAUUUCAAGGAAUAUUCUUAGUAAUUUCAUUUUCUUCCUCAAUUUCCCUCUCACAUUUUUUUCCUCAAAACAAAAGUGAAGUGAAGGGAUAAUCUCACAAAGUCAUAAAAACAUUCUGGACAAUAUCAUAAAUAAUCCAGAGCAAUAAGAAAGUGACCCUUUAACCAGACAUUAGCUACAAAUAGGCAUGAAUGGAUCAGACAGAAACAGUUGGAGAGGAAACAAACAUUGAAAAUGACACCAAUCUUGUCUUGCCCACCUACAUCCAUGCCCUCUCCUCUCCCAACAGAACUUGACCCAUCAAUUUAAUUAAUUUUUUCAAAGUGAACCUCUCCUCUUCUUUGUAGGUGGGCUUUUUCACUAACAAGAAUUAUAUAAACAAAAAAAUAAAAUAAAAUUGGUGGGCUCGCUUCUUUCCCUUACCCUCUUUUGUUUCUUUUUUAUUUAUUUAUUUAUUUAUUUAUUUUGCUUAGACUUCACACCACCCUACCCAGUCCUAUCACUAAAUGGAUUGUCUUCUGGUUGUCUUUCUUGAUGUGGGCCUUCUGACAAAUUCCAAUUUACACUAGACAAAUUUUACCUAUGUCCUUUGCAAUUAAAUGUUUUUAAUUUCCCCUUCUAUUUCUAUUUUCUUUUGUGGAAAAUUAACCUCUCUAGAGAAAAUUUUGUAGCCAAUGAAAUGCACAUCCAUUUCCUUUCACUGAUUUGAGAUGAUAAUUUCUUUUUAGUACAGUUUGAGCAUUCAUUGAGCAUUGGACUAUACAAAAAAUUAUAGGGAUGCUGAUGGGUAUUUGUAAUCGAAUAUUUUACAUUACUCAAUUCGAUUAAAUAAAAGUAGAGAUUUUAUAAUUGAAUUCGGAUAAUAAGGUUAUUACUCAUAACGAGUUCAGGUAAUUAUUUUUAAAAUAAAUUUUAAUUUUAUAUAUUAGUAUUAUUUAUAAAUUCUUGAUAAUUAAUGUAAUACUUAUUAAAAUUAAUUAAUUAUCCUAAAUAUGAUUUUAAAUUUUAAAUAUAUUUAUGAACUAAUUUUUAUUUAUUAAUUUAAUUUUUAUUAUUACUAUAUAUAAAAAUUAAUUUAAAUUGAAUAAUUAUCGGAUACGGAUAUUUAACAAAUAGUAUCUACAAUAUAUGGAUACGAGAUUAAGUAAUAAUUCAAAAAAUUAAUCGAGUAUUUAUAGGAUUCGAAUGCCUUAUCUAAUAAUAGAAUUUAGAUUAGAGUAUUUUAAAAAUAAUAGGUACCCUACUCAUUUACAUCUCUGAUAAAUUUAAUUGGUGAGUAAAUAAAGGUUAUAUUAACUUUUAACUAUUUUGGCCGUGCAAUGAUCGUAAUUGGUGACAAAUAAAAUGUUUAAAAUUAAACUAAAAAUCAACGCAUGUGAUGAUUAACACAACUAGCGCAAUGGAAGUAGUUUGUUUUGUUCCGAUCAUCUCCAAAAGCGAGUGGAAAAAUGUCUAUUAUAUACCAAACUUCUCUACCUAAAUUCAUUAAUAAUUUUACCAAUUUUAUAUUUCUUAUUAAUUCUAAACAAAUUCAAACUUUACUUAAUAUUGUAUGAAUUAUUUGCGUCGUUUUGGAUUUGAUUAUAACUAAUUGGGAAAAAAUCCUAAUCAAAAUAGAAUUAUGACCACAUUUUUUUUUUAAACGAAGUGGUUAGCAAUUUUCUAAUAAAGCAAAAAAGCAUAAUAUACAAAAAAAAAAAGCUCUUAAAUUAUUCAAGAAAAUUCAAAUAAAAUUUUAUAUUUUUAUUGCGUUAAAUUAAACCCUUAUACUUUUAUUUUAAGCAAAAUAAACCAUUGUAUUUUUUAUUUUAAGUAAAAUAAGCUCUUAUAACUAAUGAUUGACUUAGUCAAAAUGAUAUUUAUUAUUGUAUAUUAUGUGACGUUGAUGUGGCAUAUUAAAAUAUCAUAAUUGAUUAUGAUUUGACAUGUUGGUAUAUUAUCAUAAUUGAUAAUAAUAUUACAUACUAAUUUUACAUGAUAACAUGAUCACGUGAUAUUUUUCACUUUUCACAUCAAUAUCAUGUCAAUGUCAUAUGGAUUGAAAAUAACAGCUAACAUUUUUACUAAUGAUAAUUAAUCAAUUAUUAAUCAUAAAAAUUUAUUUAACUUAAAACAAAAAUAUGAGAUUUAAUUAAAAGCAAUAAAAAAUUAAUGACUUGUUUGAAUAUUAUUGAAUAAUUUAAAAUUUUAUUUGAGCAUUAUGCUAAAAAAAUAAAAAAUGUAACUAGUACUUUGACAAAAAAGAAAAUUGCCGACUCACGGUCCAUGUCUCUUUCACCAUGUUAAUGCUUUGUUAGACAAUAAAUGAUGAAUAAAGAUAAACUAAUAUCAACUUCUUUUAUUUUUUUAAGAAAUUUAUUCUAUGCAAAAUUAUUAUUACGUGCUUUUAACGAAUAAAAUAUGAAAUUUAAUUACAAAAUUUGAUAUCAAAAUAUUGGCAAAAAAAGUGUGUUGCGUCUCAGUAUCUAAUCAAAAUGAUAUUUUCAAAGAAAUUUGUCAUUAAUUUUUAUACUAUACACAUUUAAUACUAAUGGAAAAAGUAUGAUAAAUAUGAGAAGAACAAUUAUUUUUUCUUUGUUAAAAAAAUAGAGGGUUUAUAUUUGAUGUGUUGAUAAUUAAAGUAAAUUAUUAAUAUUUAAUUUUAAGUCUCUAAAGAUUCAUGAUUUUAUUUUAUUAAUGAGAUGGUAAUAUUUGGUGAGUUGAUAAUAUAUAGAAACUAUACUUUGUUAAUACAUAAAAUAUAAACUUAAAAAUAUAUUAAUUUUUUAUAUAUUAAAUAAAUUUCUUGAAAAUUUGAUCACAAAAAAUAUAUAUAUUUAAAGCACACAAAAGUAUCCUAAUCCAAGUUGAUACUUUAUCCAAAUAAAUAAAGCCGAAUUAUAAACUUACCCAUCAUAUUAUUCCCAAUGAUUGUGAGUUUCUGACCCUACAUAUGCUAAAUUAUUAAUUGAUCUGCAUUUACUAAGCUGAAAAUUACUGAUAGUAAAAAUUAACCUUCUGUCUUUUUGGGUCCUUGAUUUAAUCGUAGCCGUUUGUCACUGUUCAUAACUGACAAACACGUCACAUUAGCAGUCACUGCCACGGCCGGUUCUGGUAACUUACAUACAACCGGCCACGCUAGCGUGACAGUAUAAAGACCAAGCUAAUAGUUUAGGAUUUUCCACGUGGCGGAUAAUGGUAAGAUCUGAUUAAAAUUUUUUAUUGAUAUUGGGCCCUACCGAGGUGACUGUGAGAUUCUCGUCAGAGAAGGAGGUGAUGGGACAUGACGCGUGGGGCCCAAAAGUGGUGGGCCCAUGUCCGAAUCUCUGUCGUUACUUCUAGGUUGGAAGGAGAAAUCUUAAACCCCAGUUUUGUCGGAAACCUUUCUUACGACUUUUUUUGUGUGUAACUUUGUCUGCUAUACGCCUAUAACAAGCAAAAAGAAAAUAACUUUAAUGAAAAAUUUGGAAUAAUUGGCCAAAUUAACGUGCAAGAGGUUAGAAAUUUAACCUGCUUUGCUCGUCUUUUAAAAACAUUUGGUUCACGAAAUUGAAUAAAUAAAAUAAAAUACUUAUUAUGUGAAAUAAAAUAGAGUAAAAUAAUUAUGAAAUAAUUUAAUUUAUAAAAUAAAAUUAUUUUCCUAUGUUAUUCAAAUAUCGGGUUGAUAAAAAUAAUUUUUGAAUAACAAAAAAAAUAUUUAUGCGAUAAAAAAUACUUUUUAUUUUUGGGUACAACAAUUUUGCUAUUUAUUUUUUAAGUUUGAAAAUAAAAAAGUAAUAAAUUUGUUUGGAUAUAAAAAAAUAAUUAUUUUUUAAAAAAAUUAUACACAAAAUAUAUAAUUUUUUUAAUAAUAGAUGCAUGAUUUAAUUUUUAUAUAAAUUAAUUAUGUUAUAAGUUAUGUUAUGUUUUAAAUAUUUAUUUAUUUAAAUCAAUAAUAUGAUAUAUUUUUUUAUCUUUUUCUUUUAUUUUAUAUUAAUUUUAAAAAGUAAAAAAAUAAAAGCAUAGCCAAAUAGUUUUAUCCUAGUUUUUCUUUCUUGUUCUUCUUAAUUGUAACCAUUUGAGGGAUGAAAGGGGUUGUUAAUUUUCUUUUUACCAAUUUAAAGAAAAAGAUAUUUAAUUUUUUUCAAUAAUAAAAUACAUAUAUUUACUAUUGAAUCAAAUAUUUAACUAUUGAGAGAUAAAGCUUGAGUUAUAAGAAGAAUUAGGAUUCUUUUAGUGUUUCUUUUACCAGGAUUUGCUUUACUAUUUUCAUUUUAUUUUCUAAAAAUUAUUAUAAAAAUAAAUUACAUAGUCUACUUGAGCUUAGGUUAACUAUUAUGAGAAUGUAAUGAAGUUUGGACUUGAUCUUCUAAAUUUGACACUAUUGUACAAGAAGAAUGAAUAAUAAAGGAACAAAUUUGUAUUAGACUAAAAAUAAAUACAUUGCUUUCUUCCAAAAAAAAAAAAUACAUUGCUAACACAUAAGAAUAAAUUUAAACAUAAUUUGAAUUUUUUUACACAAACAAAAUUGUUUCAAUGCAAAAUAAAAAUACUUACAUUUUGGUAUAUGUGAUCUUAAAUUACAUAAUAAAAAAUAAAUUAAUUUAUAUUUCAUAAGUUUUUAUUUUUAUUUAAAAUUUAAAUUAAUAUCUCAAAUUUUAAUAGUUAAAAAAUGUCAUUUAAAAACCAAUAGAUGCAAUGUUGUUGCUUAAUAUAUUUUUCUUUUCGUUUCCUUUUAGAUUUAUUAAAUGGGCUUGCAAAUUGGCUGCUCCACGUACCCAUCACCAGUGUCUCUAUAAGAAUACAAAUACUUAUCACUGAAUCAAACUAAUUUGAUGCUGACUUGCUUAUUUUAUCUUUCAGGUUUAAAAUGACAUAUUCCAUUUGAGAUUUGUUUUUUGGUAAAUUCGUAAUGUUACAACAGCAUCUUCCUAAAUAUGGAGGUCCCAAACAAAUAUUCUCUUCCCAAUUAAUUAAAAAAUUAUAACAAACUUAUCAAUUAUUGAUUUACAUAUUUAUAUAAAUUACAAAUGUGAAGCUCAGCCAUAGAGUUUGGCCUCCUUCAGUUAGGUAUCUUGCCAUUUUGAGUAGGAAAAUUAAUGCUUUGGCCUAGGGACCGCACCACUUUCUAGUAAAUCCCCUAAAUGCAUCAAUUUAGUUGACAAAUUAGCUGUUAAUGGAAAAAAAAUGAAUAAUUAUUUUAAAGGAUUCUUUAUAUAUUUCUUUCCCCCGCCGUUUCGAAUUAAUUUUUAAUGAUUUUCAUUUUAAAAUUAUGUCCGAAAAUAUCCUUUUAAUAUUAAAAAAAUACAAAAAUUAAUAAAAAAACUCUGAGUAAUUUUGUUUUUAAAUUAAGGUUAAGGAAAAGGUGCACGUAAAAUAUCACGUGCCAUUGUUUUCGAAAUUAAUAAUGAUGGUCCCAAUGACCCAAAAUUAUUCCAAGGCCUAUAAGGACAUCAACAAGUUGGAGGAAAAACAAAAGAAAGAGAAAGGAGUACAUCAGGUAGAGAUCACUCAUGAUGAAAAGUUUCACUAGAACCACAAAACAUUUUGAGAGAAAACAUAUUUGUCCCUGUGUUCUUGCCCAACCCAACACUAAUGUGACCACCAUUGUCUAAUUUCUUUGCCAUAAUUAAUGAAAUAUACAUUUCUACUUGAAUUUCUCUUCCUUCACAAAUGCAUAGGGUUUGAUAAUGAAGUUUACUAAGCCUUUUUUUAAAAAAUUUAUAACAUGAUUUUUGUUGCAUAUUUAUUAUUUGUCAGUCUUUUUAUAUUUUUAAAAUCUAGUGCAUGUCAUAAUUUUUAUAUUUCAAAACUAUGAAAUUAAUUUUUAGGAAAAAAACACUAAAAGUGGGUUAUUAUUGUAGCUAGCAAAUCUUAAAUUUCAAGGUUAAAAUUUCUAAAGAUUAAUCGCUAAGAAAAGUUUUGUGAAUUUGCUCGUGAAUUUUAGAAAUGUCAUCGUUGAUUUACAAUAUAAAACAGUUAUUUUAAUUUCUCAAAUAUAGGAAAUUUCUUGGUAUUUAACCUAUGGAAAAGCAAAAGGGAGAAAAAUUGCAUCCGAAUGUGGCAUUUAAUUGACUUUGCCAUCUACUUUUUCCACUUCUAGAAGUAAAAAUGAACAAGCAAAACUAUGGUUCACUGCUACCUUGUUCGAGAAAAUAAAUUUUAAAAAAUUUCCAAAUGUGGCAUUUAAUUGACUAUUUUCAUUUUCUUUUCCACUUGUACACAAUGUAUUUUUUAAAUUUUACAAGUGAAUUUAGAGAGUUGUCUUGUAUCUAUUAAAUGACUAAGUAAGUCACUAUUAUUAACUUGACACACUGUAUCAAUUAUAUUUAUAAUUAGUAUAUACAUAUAUGAUUUUGGGUUAUACAAUGAAACAAAUUAAAAAUGGCAAAAUCAAUCCAAAUUCAAAUUAAUUAAAAAGUUAAAAGAUUCAAAUUCAAAAACACUCGAAUUUAAAAUAAACCUGAAAAAAUCGAACCUAAAUACCACAUUCCAAUGUUUACAUCUUACAUAAAAUUUAAAAUAACUUAAAAUUAACUAGAUAUGAAAUGGUUUGAACUCAAAACGGUCCAAACACGAAAUUAUCCGAGCCCAAAAUGACUAAUCUCGAUCUUACUCGUUUUGCUAGCUUGUCUCAUCUCAUAAUCUCAUUCUUUCCUUGAAAUUCAAUCUCAAGACUUUUAAAUUAAAAAUUUUCAAGUUAUUAAAAGCUAGAAAUGUAGAGGUGUGGACAGAUCGAGCUACUUACCAAGCCCUGGACAUGACUCUAACCCGAUCAAAAAAUAUUUAUAUAAUAUAGCAAUAUUUUUUAAUAUUCUAACAAUAAACCUAAUUAUUUUUCUCGAACUCAAAUAUAAAUUUAAAUUUUUAAGAUCUCAACCAACCUUUAAUUAAAUGUCUUUUUUAGAAAAAGAAUUAUUGAAACUUGUGGACAAGAAUCCCUAACCUAAUGACAAAGCAUUGUCAUGCAAAUGCAUGCAUCAAUGCUUUAAUGGGAUUCGGAGUUCCAAUUUCCAAGUCGCAAAUGAAGCAUGCAGCUAGCUAGCAUCCAUUAUUGCAUGAACAUCGGUUGCUUCAAAGAAAAAAACAUUGAUUGCAACACGUGUCCAACACAUUGGCGGAGGCUGCUGACAAGCCGCGUAGGCGGCCGUGCCUGGCGGCCGGCGCCCUUUAAUUGGCCAUUUUGCUUUGAUCUUAAAACUCUUCAACUCCCCUUUAAUGCAAGUCAACUUUUUUAAUUUUUUCAGCUAUGCGAUUGGAGGGACUUAAACUAAGCUGGAUUCAUUAAUGAGAAUGACCUGUUACUAUGCCAUAGAGAGCGGCCAUUUAACAAGUUCACAAUGGAAUCUCAUUAAAUAUCAAAGAGAGAAAUGGGCGAUGUUUAGCAUGUUUUAAUCCAAGACCCCUUGGGAAUUGCCAAAAAGAUUAAAAAAAAAACCCUUUUUAUCAUAAUGGAUCUACUAACAUUGGUCACCUUUGAGUGCAAUGACGAAUUUAAAAUUCUACAUGAAAGAUGUUAAAGGUAAUUAAUUGUUUGUUACUUGAUUUGAUUUGAGGUGAUAAACUUAUAUAUUUUAAAUUUUAUACAUAUAAUAAUAAAAAAUUAAAAAUAUAGGGGUGACGGCCGCCACAACCUUUGGUCGACUAUUGCCUGAGCCUCUUGCUAAGUUGUUAUUUAUACAACUAUUUGAUAUCAAAUUCAAAUGUGGUUGUCAAUGGUUAAUGUGAUAAUUUUCAAUAUAUAUGAUGAAGAUAUUAUUUUAAGGGAAAUGAUAAAUUAUAGUGGCGUCAUAGUUUUAAUGAAGUACAUAAAAUAUUUUUCCUUAAAGUUCGCAUUAUUUUCACACAUAAUUAGAGAUGCCAAGUACCCAUUAUUUUUCAAGUACCAUAACCAGAAUUUUGUUAUUUGAUAGGUUACCCUAACCUUAUAAAUACACAAUUAAAUUAUUGAAUUGCUAUUUGAAUCUUAAGAUCAUUAUCCUAACUCGUGACAAGUAGUUGUUUUACUACCUAAACCUUACUUGAACUUAAUUAUAAAAUAAUCUAAUCUUAAUUAAUCAAGUCAAGUAAUAUGGGUACCCGAUUAUAAGAUAUCCAUCAACAUAGAUAAUCACUAUUUAUCCUCCCCUUUGUGGAUUUUAAACCAUUUGACCGAUCUUACUUUUAAAUAUUAAUAUUAUUAAAUUCCCUUAAAGACAGCUCGUUAAUGAAAGCAAAGCCCUAGCUUGCUUUAAAUAUAAGUUAAUGAUGGAUAAGCUCUCUAGAAUCCGCAGGAGUAGGAGUCGGGGUCCUAAAUCUAGGACCUUGGCCAUAUCCCCUCUUUCCUUCUUCCUCCAUGUCUUCUCCUCCUACUUCCCUUCCACUCAUAGUUCCCAAGCAUAGGUUUUACCAUUUAGAGUUCUGAUAUCCACAACUAUUAAUUAAAAGUUAAAAAUUAAUUUAAAUGAACUGAAAUUUCAAAAACAAAGUUAACAAUUUAAAGAGCAUGACUACCUAUGGAGGACCAUCCAUUUGCCAUCUCAAGUUAAUCAAGUAACUUGAUAGUGCAAACCAAAUUUCUUGACCUAUAUAUAUCUGUGUCUACCACUCUCAUCCUUUUUUUUAUUAAUUUUCUAUUGACGACCACUCUAUUUUUCAACAAAUUUAUAUCAUUAUAUGAAGUAAAACAAAUCUAAAAUCAUAGCUUACUCUUGCCUUAUCCCAACUGACUCAAUCAACACUCCCACACACAUUCAUGAAGGAGAUAUUUGGUUAGGUAUUCAACCUUGGUUGGCUAUAUAACUUGGUGCGGAUUGACCCAAUUUGUCAUUGGUUUCUAUUGACAAGUGUAAGUAGAUCAUUAUGCAUUCGGGAUUUUGAGCCUAUAAAACUUAUUUUGGACUUUGUUUGAGCUUUGGUCCAAAUUUGCCAAACACAAUCAUCAAUUUUUGGACUCAAUUUUGGGCCAUGUGCUUGACUUUGACUACUCCAAAUUGUCCUUGACAAUGUUAAAACUACUAGUAAUAUUUAGGGAUUACACUUUAUACACCAUACAGUAUCACUUAAUUACAGAGCCUAUUCAUGACAUCAAACUCAGUUAGACUCAUCUAAUACAAAAUUAAGUUGUAAUUUUUCUAAUCUUCAUAUAAUCUUUAACCGUUAGUAGCUUGCUUUCCUAAAGAGACAUGGAAAAGGUAGAAUCUUGCCUUUGCAUUUUAAUCUGCAAAUAAUUUUGUAUAAUACCCUUUCAAAUUGUUAACCUUGUCUGGGUUUUACACAUUAAAAACCUCACAGCCGUAGCUCAGCCAAGUCCAGUUAUUUGGCCGACAUUAGGCCAAGCCAUUCCCUUUAAAUAAAACAAUUGGUUUAACUUUAGCAGUUUACCAUCCUAUUAAACUUAACAAAAACCCUUCAAUCAAAAUAUUUUUUUUAUUUCUUAAGUUUCACUCACCUACUUUGAUUGCAAUAGCCAUUAAGGCUUGAGUACUGAUUGAAGGGAAUCCAGGACUACUGGCCAAUGGCUUAUAAGCCUUAUGGGGACCAGCAUUUUUUUUUUAUACGAGGAAUCAUACUUGUAUGGACAAAUUUGGGAACAUUUCUGCUUACCCACUUCAUUAUUCUUUUCUUACCUUGAAUAUUACCUGAUUUUCUAAACAUAAAUUUCAAAUUGGUUCAUCUUAGUGUCCACACAUGCAACAAAACAUAUUGGUGUUUUCUUGUACUCAUAUUACUUUGGGUUUGGCAUGAACUAUUUGGCUAGUAGCUCUAACCUAAUCUGGGCCCUCAUCUUCCCAUAUAGAAUGCCACUUUGGACUUUCCCUAGCUUGGAUUUGUUUGAGAAAACAAAAUUCAUCUAGGAAAGCUUAAUCUGUAAUAGAUUGAAUCAAUGAUUUGAUUUGAAAUAAAAAUUAAUUACUUAUAAUAUAAAAUUGAACACCACCUUCAAUCCGUUCUUAACUGCAACUAAAAUUGAUCUUUCUCUCAAGACAAUCCCAACCUGGAUUGGUUUGAUGGAGCAAAUAUUCAGGUUGUUGAGGCAAUUUUUUUUUUUUUGUGGUUGGUGAUGGAAUUGACAAUGAGAUUGACACAAUUCUCACUUGUGGUAUAUUGUCCUAUCACUGUCCCUAUUGGUAAAGCUGUUCACAAUCAAAGCAUUACUUAAAACAUGCCCCCCAGAAGUAUCAAACCAUAUGAUUAGAAGUCCAAUCAACUUUAGAAUAAUGAAAGUAACUACUAUCAUUGAUUUUUAAUUUUAAUUUUUUGUUUCUUAUAUGCUUUGUAACACUAAUCAUUACCUGUAAUGGAGUAGAAAACUUUUUAAUGUUUGGUAGAGUUGAGUCAGAUAUUAGGAGGAUUGGGACACACUGCCAAAUGCUUCAUAACAACCUUACGCAUGAUUACAUUGAUUUUGAUUAUCUAACCAAAUUAGCUUGAAAAAAGGUGAAGGCUCUGGGGGGGAUUUGUUUUCAAAACAAAGCUCCAUUCUCCUGCAACAUUUCCAUUACUUAAAAUAUCAGGGAUUUGCUCAGUUUGGUUCAUCAACCAUGAUAUCUAUGGCAAGCCUACUUUUGCUUCAAACUCAAGAUUGUCAAGUGUGACAUAAAAUCAUUUAUUUGCUUUCUGAUUUUUGGGUCUUUAUCACUCAAAAGAAAACAUCUGAUGAAACCUCCUCACACACUUCAAACAACCUUUUUCCACCAUGUCUCCUUAUCACCAACCCUUAACGUUUUCCUCAAAAUGGGCAAUUUUUAUUUUUUUUUUUCAAUUACCCAUUAGAAAGCUUUGCUAGAGUUCCAAACAAGCUUCCAAUUAUAUUUUCAUGGUCAUGACAGCAGUUGGGGGAGAGCUGAAUGUUCGUUGCUAUUGAAGAAACAAGCAAAAAAGUAGCGGCCUUAAUGGUGGAAUGUGUAGAAUGGAAGGAAAAAUUGAAGAAGAGAUGCUCCUAUAUAGGAGAAGCUUUUUUCUUUUCAACUGAAAAUAACAAGUUCUCAAAUUCCAUUACUCAUCUCAGAAAUUUUGAUUUCUACUAACAAAUAAACUGCAAAAAGAAUUCCCAUGAGGAGGAAGAAGAUUAAAAAAAAAAGAAAGAAUGCAAAAAAAAGGGAAGGAAAACAACACAGACUCCAAUAACUAAUGACCUUUAAAGGCUUACUCAAUACUAAACCUACAACUCUUGCUACCCUUAAGCUUCCAUGUUCUCUACCCUUUUUUUCUCAGUUCUCUCAUUACAACCCCCUCUCUACUAUCUAAAAAUAUUGGUCAUCUAUUGCUCCUAUUCCCCCAUUCCAACCCUGUACAAAAAAACAAUGAACAAAGAGAUAAAAUAACAGUAAGAGAAUAACACAAGGGUAAAAAAGAGAGAGAGAGAGGGAAACAGAGAGGAGAAAGUUUAUCCCAGCAAUGGGGAUUCAACAAUUCCCCACACCCUCCCUCACAUAAAAUCC